Molecule: long non-coding RNA, 78599 nt
Filed under: Arabidopsis lyrata
Lineage: Eukaryota; Viridiplantae; Streptophyta; Magnoliopsida; Brassicales; Brassicaceae
Description: long non-coding RNA (ALYR_LNC003016)
Source: RNAcentral
UUUUUUUUUUUUUUUUUUUUUAAUAUAGGAGCUAAAUAUUUAUGGCUCCUUUUAAUUUUGUUUGUAAAUUGGCCUUAUCGGAAAUCCGCGAAAAUUUCAGGCAUAGAAGCAGCCACACCCACACAAGCUCAAGUUCAAAGUUAUCUCCGCACUCUCUUCUUCUUCUUCCUUCUCCUUCACUUAUCUUCUUCUUCCUCUCACCCUCUCUCUAAAUUUCUCAUCGAUUCUCAAUUCAGCUUGAUGCUCUCGGAUUUGAUUCGUCGAUAACCCCAAUUUCUUUCGAAAUUUGAAGUUUUUAAGUCAUUUCUGGUUCGAAAUUCGUUGGAAUUGGAAUGAGAUAAAGUCUCUGACUUUGCUAUCGGUUUGUUGUGUUCGUUUCUGGGUUUAUUGAGAUGCCUUCGAUGCUUGUUCUCGUCGGCACAAUGCCGUCCUUGGCUUCUCUGGUUAGUCUAGGUGGUGCUUGUGCAAGCGUUUCUGGAACGAGUUCUUCGGAUGCAUCGUAUGCGUUAGUUAAGAGGGUAUCGUUGUCAAGGAGAAGUGUUAAGGGGACUAAGAAAUGGCUGUGUAGAUAUUCUGUUUCGUCUUCAACUACUACUACUACUGCUGACUUCAUUGCUGAGCAAAACAACAACUCAGUUUCUAUAGAUUCUAACUCGUUUAGGGGGAGUAAAGAAGGGGAUGAUAGUGAGGUUGUGCUGAAGCAGACUCCUAAACCUGUGUUGAAACCCCCUGUGGCAAGGGUAGAAAGAGGUUUGGGGGUGAAUACUGCUCCUUGGAGUAAAGAUUUAUCUAAUGGGGGUAAGUUUGAUGGAGAAGAAGAGAGGAAUAAGGUUAUUGAAUCUCUUGGUGAAGUGUUAGAUAAAGCUGAGAAGUUGGAAAUUCCGAAACCGGGUAACAAAGAGGGUGGUGAGGCUGUUAAACCGUCACAGCCUAGUGCCAACAGUAGUAACUCAAGAAAUGGUAGCUAUGCGAAUGCGAGUGAUGGAGGGACAAGGAAGACGAAAACCAUGAAGAGUGUGUGGCGUAAGGGCGAUGCUGUUGCUGCUGUGCAAAAAGUUGUUAAGGAAUCACCUAAAAUUGUUAAUAGAGGAAUGCAGGUUGAACCUAGAUCGAAAGAGGAUGAAGAGAUGAAUGCCAAAGCAGGCACUCAAUUGGCACCACCUCAGCCACCUUUUAGACCUCAACCACCUGUAAGACCCCAGCCAAUGUUACAAGGGAAGCCUACCGUAGCUCAGCCACCCGUUAAGAAAUCACCCAUCUUAAAAGAUCUUGGUAUGGCAGCAAAACCUUUAGUUUCUGAAGAAGUUGAUUCUAGCGUAAAAAGUAAAGAAAGGAAGCCUAUUUUGGUUGACAAAUUUGCUUCCAAGAAAAAAGGUGUUGAUCCUGUGGCCUCUCAGGCUGUGUUAGCUCCUACUAAGCCUGGAAAGGGUCCUCCCUCUAACAAGUUCAGAGUUGAGCACCGUAAUAAAAAAAAUGCAUCAGCUAGUCCAAGACGAAGAAUUGUUGCUGAAGACGAUGGCGACGAAGAUACAUCCAUUUCUCGAUCAGGUAGAAAAGGGAGAAAAUGGAGUAAAGCUAGUAGGAAGGCUGUCAGACUCCAGGCUGCAAAAGACGCAGCACCUGUCAAAGCUGAAAUCUUAGAGGUAGAUGAAGAAGGCAUGUCCAUCGAGGAUUUGGCUUACAACCUAGCCAUCGGAGAAGGUGACAUCCUUGGGUACCUAUAUUCAAAAGGGAUUAGACCUGAUGGUGUGCAGACUUUGGACCGCGAGAUGGUGAAGAUGAUUUGUAGAGAUUAUGAUGUUGAGGUCCUUGAUGCUGAUUCAGUUAAAGUAGAAGAGAUGGCAAAGAAAAGGCAAACUUUUGACGAAGAAGAUUUGGACAAGUUAGAGGACAGACCUCCAGUCAUAACGAUAAUGGGUCAUGUGGACCAUGGAAAGGUAGGCACAGUUUGCAUUACUGUUUUUGUUACCAUGUCCUACUCGCCCUUAAAAGGAUAUGUAGAGUCCUAUUUUUUAGCAGCAGGUUGUUCCUAAUGCAUUUGCUGCCUAUUUUGCAGACCACUCUUCUGGACUAUAUCCGAAAAAGCAAGGUAUGGAUGAGUUUAGCUAUUAAUUUCCCUUUUAUUAUUUAAGAAAUUUCAUUGUGGCCUCUUCAGUUUUUUAUCAUUUCUAAAGCAUGGCUAUUGGCAAUUAAUGUUUGUUCAUUUGCUUAUUGUCAAGAUUAGUGCUAAGUAGCGUUUUCAGCUAAUCUCCCUUCGCUGGAUACAUGCAGGUUGCUGCGUCAGAAGCAGGAGGAAUUACACAAGGAAUUGGUGCAUAUAAGGUGUCAGUGCCUGUUGAUGGAAAGUUGCAGUCCUGCGUUUUCCUUGAUACUCCUGGACAUGAGGUAGAUCCUUUUUCUUGCAAUUGAAUCUUCACAUGUUCAUUUCUGAUGCUGAAAUUUCAUUGAUUAUACUUCCUGAGCUUUCUUUCAUGUAGCAUGUUUCUUGACUAUCUCACAUCUAUUGCUAGGCAAACCAUAGUUUUACUCAUCUUACUUUUAUGUCCCCAUCUAGGCAUUUGGGGCAAUGAGAGCUCGCGGAGCACGAGUCACUGACAUUGCAAUCAUUGUGGUUGCUGCUGAUGAUGGAAUUCGUCCUCAAACAAAUGAAGCAAUUGCUCACGCAAAGGCUGCUGCUGUACCAAUAGUUAUAGCUAUAAAUAAGGUAUUUAGUUAUUCUUCUUUACCUUGUGUAUAUGUAAGUUUCUCCCAGUCUUAUUCAUUUCAUGUUCCAGAUAGAUAAAGAAGGAGCUAGUCCAGAUAGAGUGAUGCAAGAGCUUUCUUCAAUUGGUUUGAUGCCUGAAGAUUGGGGUGGUGAUGUUCCAAUGGUUCAGGUUGGAAUUCAUACUUUCAUCACGUAUAUGUUUCAGGGUCCAUAUGUUCCGUGGGUUCUCAUAUCAUGCUCUAUAUUUGCCUUUGACAGAUCAGUGCUUUGAAAGGGGAGAAUAUCGAUGAUCUGUUGGAAACUGUCAUGCUUGUUGCAGAGGUUAGUUUGUUAUUCAUCCCAUGAUAACAGGUUUGCUUGAUUUUUCUGUUUCUCUUUUCGGUAGAUGCAUAAUGAAGCUCAAUUUUGUUUUCUUCAUGUAAGUACUACAUAGUUGCUACGAAAUGACUUACAUAAUUGCUCCAAAGUCGGCCCAAAAUCUUGUUUUAAGGAGGGCUAAAGACUAAUUUACGCUUACUCCCACUUUCUGCUUUUGCUUGUGGGCUGACUGUAUUUUGGCUGUUUCAGCUGCAAGAGUUGAAAGCAAAUCCUCACAGAAAUGCCAAGGGCAUUGUUAUCGAGGCUGGACUUGAUAAAGCAAAAGGACCAUUUGCGACAUUCAUUGUUCAGAAGGGGACUUUGAAAAGAGGGGAUGUUGUUGUUUGCGGAGAAGCUUUCGGAAAGGUCUAUCCAAAAUUUGGUUUUUCCUCAAGUCACAUUGUGCAGAUGAUAUAUAAUCGCUUAAAACUUACCUACUUUGGGUUUUGCUCUGUUCCUAUGUUUAGGUACGAGCUUUAUUUGAUCACAGUGGGGAGCGAGUUGAUGAAGCUGGACCCUCCAUACCUGUACAGGUUUGUAGUUUUAUAGUCUACCCUAAGUUAAACGUCAUUGCACACACACUAAUAGAAGUACUCUAUGCAGGUCAUUUUUAUUUCCUUGGUGACUGGAUUUUGAUACUAUGUUCUCAUGUAUGGAUGAUUUAGAUAUCUAAUUUGAGGAUCUAAAUUACAUUUUGCAGGUGAUUGGUUUAAAUAAUGUCCCCAUUGCUGGUGACGAAUUUGAGAUUGUCUCUUCCCUUGAUGUGGCGCGGGAGAUGGCAGAGGCACGUGCGGUAUCUCUACGAGAUGAAAGAAUAUCUGCAAAGGCUGGGGAUGGAAAGGUCACGCUUUCCUCCUUAGCUUCUGCUGUAUCAGCGAAAAAGAUGUCAGGCUUAGAUUUGCAUCAGCUUAAUAUCAUCUUGAAGGUUGAUGUACAGGUAAAGAGUCACUUUGGUUUCAUCCGCUCAUCGCCUUAAACAUUUUGGUUUCCUCUGUCUCCUCUUUUUUAUGCUGAUGCAAAUCAUCAAUGUGACUACUAGGGAUCCAUUGAAGCUGUCAGACAAGCCCUGCAAGUCCUCCCUCAGGAGAAUGUCACCUUGAAAUUCUUGCUACAAGCGACAGGUGAUGUGAGCAACAGUGAUGUUGAUCUAGCAUCAGCAAGUGAAGCCAUCAUUUUUGGAUUUAAUGUCAAAGCGUCUGGUUCUGUUAAGAAAGCUGCAGAAAACAAAGGUGUUGAAAUCCGACUAUAUAGAGUUAUAUAUGAGCUUAUUGACGAUGUGCGAAACGCAAUGGAAGGACUUCUUGAGUCUGUUGAGGUUAGCAUUGAUUUCUUUAGCAAUUUGAAACGUUUUGUUGUUGAUCAGCAUUCCUUUUAAGAGUUACACAUGAUGAGAUCUUUGUUUUGUCUUCUUUCCACAUGAGUUGGCAUAACAACUGUUUUUUUCGUUGGGUUGAAUAAUUGAAUUGCCUGAAAAGGAAAUCUCUGUAUCAUGUCAUUGAUUAUUAUAACGCAUAGGUUUUAGUCUCACUUCUUGAGCCUUUUUGGAGUUUUGAAACUGAAGAUUCAUGUGGCUCUUGAUAUUUGAUAGGAACAAAUCCCAAUUGGCUCAGCAGAAGUUCGGGCUACUUUCAGCAGUGGAAGUGGCCGUGUGGCUGGAUGCAUGGUGAAUGAAGGGAAAUUUGUCAAAGAUUGUGGCAUCAGGGUGGUCCGGAAGGGUAAAACUGUCCAUGUCGGUGUCCUUGAUUCUCUUAAACGAGUUAAAGAAAACGUGAAAGAGGUAAACUAUCAACCUCCAUCUUAGACACUUAGAACAUGGAAGGAGAAGUAGAGUCUUCCUAAAAUAUCAACUUCCAUUUUACACGCUGAGAUAUGCCCAAGUAUAAAACAAAUCUUGACUUAACAAUGAUUUCAACUUUCUUACUUGGUAGGUAAGUGCUGGAUUAGAAUGUGGUAUCGGUAUGGAUGACUAUGAUGAUUGGAUAGAAGGAGACAUCAUCGAGGCCUUUAACGCAGUUCAAAAGAGGCGAACACUAGAAGAAGCAUCAGCUUCAAUGUCUGCUGCGAUUGAAGAGGCUGGAGUUUAAUUGUGAUCCAGGUUUUGCUUCUAAAGUCAUCAAAGAAACGCAAGCAAACAACAAAAUCAGACUCUCAGGGUAUGAUUUGGGUCACACAACAGUUUGGUUGGUACAUUGUUUGUAAUGGUCUCAUCUUGUACAUGGCAAAUGUUUCUCUACAUUUUGGUUGAUUGAUGUAGGAAAAAAAAAAAGACCCAAAUAUAACAAUAUUAUCUUGAAAAGAAAAAAUCCUUAUUUAUAAUGUCUAUAAAUUCAUUACUUUAUUGUGUAUACUAUUGGGUUUCAGGCAAAGCCUUAUAAAUCGAUUAUACAUGUUUCAUUGAUAUGUCAUGUGGAAGCUCAACAACUUACCUGUUAAAAAGAACGUAGAAAAGAGGAGGUUUCAAAUCAAAAAAAAUUUCUUAAAUUUCACCCAAAAUCUCCAAAAUAAAUUAAAAACUUACAAAAGCUCAUUCAAAAUAUUUAGUUGAAUAUGCCUUCUUAAUUUUGAAGAAAAUAUGCUUGUAAUUAAAGAUGAGAGAUGGAUAGAUAUUGAUAAAUAGAAAGGGGUAAAAGUGUUAAGCAUCGCUUUAGUGGCAAAUUAACAGACAACAAGAUGGGCGCGAAAAAGACAGCAAUGACUUCCACUUGUGUGUGUGUGUGUGCGUGGCUCUUUAACGGUCAACGAUAAAAAUCAUGAGCUCACAGACUCCAACGCUCUCUCACACCCAUCACCAAAGAAAUUAAAGCAAACAAUACACUUUAAAGAUCAUUGUCCUGAAUCAUCCCUCCUUUUUCACGUGUCGUCUUCAUCAAAUCCUCACCGUCCCAACAAACAAGAUCCUCUGUUUUCUUCUAUUGACAACCCAGAGAAACACUACAACAUUUUUAUUCAAUGGAUCUGUACUACAAACCCUCACGUGAUUUGAAACCACUUGCAGCUCAAAAAUAUGGUAAACCAAGUCGGAGAAAGAGACGAUGUCGUCGACAAAGAGAAUUAAAACAGAGUUGACUUAUUGUAGAGACAGAGAGAGACCUUUCCAAAGUGUUUUGCAGAUAGUCUUUCUUGAUCAAUCAAAGUCAGUCUUUUUUGCCCAUCUCAAUCUAAUCUUUUUAGCUUUUAACCAAAACCAUUCCGUGACUGCCCAAAUCGACGUUUCGUUUCGCCAUUCCUUUUUUUUUCUUUUUCCAUAUGUGUUCAGCGAUCACUCUGUGUUCUUACCAAAGCUAACUUGUAAAAAUGAGAGGGAGGAUAUGUUUCUCGGCAAUAGUAAUUCUCUGUUCUUUCUCCUUCAUCUUAGUAAGAUCCUUAAACGAAGAAGGGCGAGUUCUCCUGGAGUUUAAAGCUUUCCUUAAUGACUCGAAUGGUUAUCUCGCAAGCUGGAACCAGUUGGAUUCAAAUCCCUGCAACUGGACCGGAAUCGAGUGUACCCGCAUCAGAACGGUAACUUCUGUUGAUUUAAAUGGAAUGAAUCUAUCAGGUACACUAUCUCCUCUCAUAUGCAAGCUUUAUGGUUUAAGGAAAUUGAAUGUCUCCACCAACUUCAUCUCUGGUCCAAUCCCUCGAGAUUUAUCUCUCUGUCGAAGUCUAGAGGUUCUUGAUCUCUGCACAAAUAGGUUCCAUGGAGUGAUACCAAUUCAGCUAACUAUGAUCAUCACUCUUAAGAAGCUGUAUCUAUGCGAGAAUUAUCUUUUCGGUACAAUCCCUAGACAAAUAGGUAGUUUGAGUUCGCUCCAAGAGCUUGUGAUCUACAGCAACAAUCUCACCGGUGUAAUCCCUCCUUCCACGGGGAAAUUGAGACUGCUCCGGAUCAUUAGGGCAGGACGGAAUGCAUUCUCGGGUGUGAUUCCAUCUGAAAUCAGCGGAUGUGAGAGCCUAAAGGUACUUGGAUUAGCAGAGAAUCUUCUUGAGGGUUCUCUUCCUAUGCAGCUCGAGAAGCUUCAAAAUCUUACUGAUCUGAUACUCUGGCAAAACCGUCUAUCCGGUGAGAUACCUCCUUCGGUAGGAAACAUCACCAAACUGGAGGUGCUUGCGCUGCACGAAAACUACUUCACGGGAUCAAUUCCAAGAGAGAUUGGAAAGCUCACAAAGAUGAAAAGGCUGUACCUUUACACAAACCAGUUAACCGGAGAGAUACCUCGUGAAAUAGGCAACUUGACAGAUGCAGCUGAGAUAGAUUUUUCGGAGAAUCAGUUAACAGGUUUCAUCCCAAAAGAGUUUGGUCAGAUCCUGAAUCUAAAACUACUUCAUCUUUUUGAGAACAUUCUUCUAGGUCCAAUUCCUAGGGAGCUUGGGGAAUUGACACUGUUGGAGAAGCUAGAUUUGUCUAUCAAUAGACUAAAUGGUACUAUCCCGCGAGAGCUUCAGUUCCUAACUUACCUUGUAGAUUUGCAGCUUUUUGACAACCAGCUUGAAGGGACGAUACCUCCUCUAAUCGGUUUCUAUAGCAAUUUUUCUGUUCUUGACAUGUCUGCCAAUUAUCUGUCUGGUCCAAUUCCAGCCCAUUUCUGCAGAUUUCAGACGCUAAUACUUCUGAGUGUUGGUUCAAACAAGUUAACAGGAAACAUUCCUCGUGAUCUGAAAACCUGCAAGUCACUGACAAAGCUAAUGCUAGGCGAUAACUGGCUAACAGGAAGCCUUCCCGCUGAAUUAUUUAAUCUUCAGAACCUUACUGCAUUAGAGCUUCACCAAAACUGGUUAUCAGGGAAUAUAUCUGCAGACCUGGGAAAGCUGAAGAAUUUAGAAAGACUGCGUCUAGCUAACAACAAUUUUACUGGUGAAAUUCCUCCUGAGAUUGGGUAUCUCACAAAGAUUGUUGGCUUAAACAUCUCCUCCAAUCAGCUCACUGGUCACAUCCCUAAAGAAUUGGGGAGUUGUGUCACUAUCCAGAGGCUUGACCUUAGUGGCAACAGGUUUUCCGGGUACAUACCACAAGAUCUUGGUCAGUUGGUGAAUUUGGAGAUUUUGAGAUUGUCUGAUAAUAGAUUGACCGGAGAAAUUCCUCAUAGCUUUGGAGAUCUAACUCGGCUCAUGGAGUUACAACUAGGAGGCAAUCUCUUGUCUGAAAACAUCCCAGUGGAGCUCGGAAAGUUAACCUCUCUGCAAAUCUCCCUCAACAUUAGUCACAAUAAUCUCUCAGGUACGAUUCCAGACAGUUUAGGAAAUCUACAAAUGUUGGAGAUACUUUACCUCAACGACAACAAGCUAUCAGGUGAGAUCCCUGCAUCAAUUGGGAAUCUCAUGAGCCUCCUCAUCUGCAAUGUCUCAAACAAUAACUUGGUCGGAACAGUACCAGACACAGCCGUGUUCCAGCGGAUGGAUUCAUCAAACUUUGCUGGAAACCACCGUCUGUGUAACUCUCAGAGCAGCCACUGCCAACCACUUGUCCCACAUUCUGAUUCAAAGCUAAGUUGGUUAGUCAAUGGUUCGCAGAGGCAAAAGAUCUUGACAAUCACUUGUAUGGUAAUCGGCUCGGUUUUUCUUAUCACUUUUCUUGCUAUCUGUUGGGCAAUAAAGCGGCGGGAACCAGCGUUUGUUGCACUUGAGGAUCAAACAAAACCAGAUGUAAUGGACAGCUACUAUUUCCCUAAAAAAGGUUUCACAUAUCAAGGCCUUGUGGAUGCAACCAGAAACUUUUCCGAAGACGUGCUUUUAGGGAGAGGAGCGUGUGGAACGGUCUACAAAGCUGAAAUGUCAGAUGGCGAGGUGAUAGCUGUAAAGAAGCUAAAUUCUCGCGGCGAAGGAGCGAGUUCUGAUAAUAGCUUCAGAGCUGAAAUAUCAACACUUGGAAAGAUAAGGCACCGGAAUAUUGUGAAGCUAUAUGGUUUCUGCUAUCACCAGAACUCAAAUCUUCUCUUGUAUGAGUACAUGUCAAAAGGAAGCCUCGGUGAACAACUACAGCGAGGUGAGAAAAACUGCUUGUUGGAUUGGAAUGCUCGGUACAAAAUCGCCCUCGGUGCUGCAGAGGGUCUGUGUUAUCUCCAUCAUGAUUGCAGGCCUCAAAUAGUUCAUCGCGACAUAAAAUCGAACAACAUUCUUCUUGAUGAACUGUUCCAGGCUCAUGUUGGAGAUUUUGGCCUAGCUAAGUUGAUUGAUCUCUCUUACUCAAAGUCCAUGUCAGCUGUUGCUGGGUCUUACGGAUACAUCGCUCCAGGUGAGUAAAACAUCACAGGUUUCUUUCUCCCAGACUCGCUUAUCUGACAUAUCUGAUUGGUGUUUUGUUGGGUUUCAGAAUAUGCUUACACGAUGAAGGUGACAGAGAAAUGCGAUAUCUAUAGCUUUGGAGUUGUGCUUCUGGAGCUAAUAACAGGAAAGCCCCCAGUUCAACCGCUGGAGCAAGGAGGGGAUCUAGUCAAUUGGGUUAGAAGAUCAAUCCGUAACAUGGUUCCAACCAUUGAAAUGUUUGAUGCGAGGCUAGAUACGAAUGAUAAGAGAACAAUUCAUGAGAUGUCUCUAGUCCUAAAGAUUGCACUGUUCUGCACCAGCAAUUCUCCAGCUAGUAGACCAACAAUGAGAGAAGUGGUCGCUAUGAUUACAGAAGCUCGGGGAUCAAGCAGCCUCUCUACCUCAUCCAUUACAUCAGAAACUCCUCUAGAAGAAGCAAACUCCUCCAAAGGUAUGAAUCCACACACGCACACACACUUGUCUGAAAUUUCCGAACUUUUUCUGAUUCUCAUUUCUUGCUAUUCUGCAGAAAUUGACUUUGUUGCAUCACCUUGAAGUCAGCAAAUAAAUCCAGUUCAGUCCAUACAGUGGAAAAUAGAAAUGUUGAAUCUGAGUCUCUAAUGAUAUCUGCAGUUAUUACAUAAACCAACACAUUGUUCAGAAACAUUGCAGAACAUGUAAAGCACAGUUUUAACUAUUUUGCAAAAGAACAGAAUAGAGUCCAGGAAGUAGAAAGCAGCUAAAAUCUUUCUCUCUUGAAAUAAAAUCUUAUGAAACAAUCAAUGGGGAUUUAGAGGAAAUCCAUAAACGUAUCUUCCUAGAAACUUCUUUGCUCUAGAUAACUCGUUGACAUACAUUGAAUCAUAAACAAGCUUACUUCUCCAACAAAAUAGAAGAACACAAAAAACGAGGAAAAGGACAAAACGUGAAACCAAAGUUAAGUGUUGAUUUUUUGCUCAAACAAAAUCUUCUGUAUCGAUAGAAUAAAAAUGAGAAAAUGUGUUUAAUACUCCAUAGUUGUACGGCGAGAUUACCUCACGCGCAAAAUCUUCAAAUUGAGCUAAAACAGGACCAAGUUCAGGCUUCCUUCAAACCCCAAUGAAAAAAAAAGAAACCGAUAUUUAUUAAAUUGGUCUCUGAGAAGCCAAUGCAUAUAAAUAGAAGAGGUCUUCAUUGGAUUCGAAACCAGUUAAACCCAACAUGGGUGGAUUUUUGGCAGAGAAGAACUCUAAUUCCAAAAUCAGGAACAGCUUCACUUCGAAAUGCUCUUCUCUGAUGAAACGACAACAUGCUCGUCUCUGUAUAAUUCGACUCUGCGCCACAAUGCUCCUCCGCUCUUACAUCGAUCACGACGAUUGCUAAUAAGUAGAGUUACCAGAAGAUUAAACUUAAAAUUAUGUUAACUAAUAAUGUUUUUCGUCCAUCUCUGAUUCGUCUAGUGGAUCGGGUCUCUUUUGGGCCUUUAGGCCUCUCUCCUCUCUUAACGGAUUUGGGUUUUUAGCUACAGCGACUGAUUAAGGGUAUCUUUAUCAAUGUUCCGCCGGAGAGGGAUUUCACGGCGUCAGUUCUUACAUUUUUCCGGCCAGUCCGGAUUUUUAUGUCUCUAUUUUUCUUUUAAUGUUCUGUUCAAUUGGUGGUUAGUGCUUGUAAUAAUGUAGUAAUGAUGUAAUAAGAGGGUGUAAUCUUGUGUAACUAUAAGAGCAUGGGCAGUGGGGCAAGCAGUGGGUGUGAUUCUUGGGGUAUAGGACCUAUAGGUAUUAAAAAAACGAAAAAAUUGUCUCUCUCUUCACACCCAGGUGUAAGUUUACACUCGGUUAUAACACUUUUUCUCUCAAUCUCUCUUUCUCUUUUCUCUUUUGCUUUAAAUUAUAAUAUUAAAAAAAUACUUACAGCCACACAAACACAUUAGCCACAGCUGAUGGUCUAACGCUAAGCAAUGUUCAUUUUCUUGGGUUGGACCCAAAUUCGUAACAUAAGAUAUUAAUCCAAUUAUUUGCAAAGAUAAAGAAAUUGAGGUCUCAAACUGUAAAUAUAUGAGCAAACAAUCGCAGUAGUAUGAAGCUGCAUUAGCCUUGUUCUUCCUCUGGGAAUACGAUUACUGAUUGGUGAAAGCCCCAAAUUCAAUUUCUCAUUUCCAGAUACGAUAUGCCUCCAGGUUUUUCUCUAAGCUAUUUUCUUUUUUCAGUUAAUCUGUUCAAAUCGUUUUGGUCUUUUAUCGUAUCUUUCCUUAAUUUGCACUCUGGAAGAAGUUGUUGUCGUGGCUCUAGAAUCCAAGUGCUGCACUAUCCCCAAUUAGUGUCCAUGAUCAAAUCGACUGUUUUGAGAGAAAUUUGUUACUACCAAACAACAGAGGCUGUUUUUCUUUUGAAAUUUUUUUGACAAUAGAGUGCUAGUUUCCCAGAUAAAACAUAUGAUUUACUACAUUACACCCACCGGGGACGCACCACUAAGAUAGAAAUAAAGCUAAUAAAGUAUCCAAUGGCAAUCCCCACAAGAAAUGUUCUCUUUAACUCAUCGUUUCCCGUGGUUGUAGCAGGUGUGCAGGAAGUCAGCAGUACACCACCGCACAACAAGGGGUUUCCUUCAAAAUAUGCUUUUGGAAAUGUAUCAAACUGACCUCCUCUGGGAAUUGGCCCUUCCAGACUGUUGUUCGCCACGUUGAAAUAAGACAUGAAACUUAGGCUUGUUAACGACCAAGGGAUUCUACCGGAUAAAUAGUUGUUGGACAGGUCCAGCCUCUCUAUGUUGGUGAGGUUUGACAGUUCAUAUGGGAUGCUGCCAGAUAAAUUGUUACUAUGAAGAUCCAGGAUAUGAAGAACCUUUAACUGGCCAACCUCGACUGGUAUACUCCCUGUCAAGUAAUUCCUUCUGAUGUAAAUCGUAGGUGGGAGGCUGUACAGUUGAUUGUAUUGCUGAUUGGUGGUAACAUUAGUGGGAUUGAGAAAAACAGGCAGCUCUAGAUAGUUCUCUUCUGUUGCGUCGUAGGUCUUUUGGGACAUCAGAGCCCUUAGUUGGAAGAUCUCCUUUGGCAGCUCUCCUGUAAGUAGGUUAUCUGAAAGAUCCAAGUAGAAAAGGUCUGGAAGAGUUCCUAACCAACCGGGAAUUGACCCCACAAAUCGGUUCAUUGACAGAUCCAUAGCUUCUACCUUCUUGAGAUUAAUCAGCCAAGCUGGUAUUUCACCUUUCAAUCUACAUGCACCUACGCCAAAUAUUCGGAGUUUGGGGAAUCCAUCUGGGGCAAGAAAGUCUUCUUUGCUUGGAACUGUUUCAUCAUAGAAAUUCUUUGCCAUGAUUAGAGUGGACAGCUCCCUGCAUCCCUGUAGAAUGCUGAGAGCUCCUGUAAUGUUCGUCAGUUUAUUGUCUGAAAAAGACAUAUACGACAGGGACUCAAGUUCCAAUACUUGAGGAGACAUCUGUCCCGUUAACUUGUUGCCUGCAAAUCUGAUUGCAAUGAGCGAUUUGCAGGAGAAAAUCUUAUCAGGGAGUUCACCGGUGAAGCUAUUGUUUCCGAGAUCGAGAACCCUAAGACUCUGCAACUGGGAAAAAUCGAGCUCUGUUAAGCUUCCUCCCAGCCGAUUGACCCUCAAAUUCAACUUGACGAGGUUAGUACAAUUUGCAAGAGAAUGCGGGACUGUACCAUUGAUUUUAUUGAUAUGGAGUUGAAGGCUACGCAGGCUGGAGAGGUUACCUAUGUCCAUUGGUAUUUCUCCUUCAAGGUGGUUGGAGUAAAGUUCAAGCGACGUUAGUUUCCUGAGCUGGGUGAUGUUAUUAUCGAUCUUUCCGGUAAGCUGAUUGGCUGGCAGAAAGAGUUUCUCGAGCUCAGAAAGAUUGUAGAUUUCACUUGGUAUAUUACCAGAGAGAUUGUUGAAGCCUGCUUGUAGAACACUUAGCCUCAAACAUCUGCCUAAUUCUUGAGAGAUAUGGCCGCUAAAAUCAUUAUAAGAGAAAUCCAGUUUGCUGAGCUGUGGUGAACUCCUGCACAUGAAUGAAGGGAUUGGACCUGUGAAGCUGUUGUUACUAACGUUGAAACUGAUUAAAUUGAUAGCUCCCUGGAUAGCGAUAGAAUUACUGAGGAUUUCUCCUUGGAGGAGAUUGCUUGACAGAUCAAUGGUAUGGACUGGGAAGAAUCUGUUACUUCCAUCUCCAAAUGCUUGUUCAAGUGGCAGCUCACCAUUGAAGCUAUUGUAACUAAGAUUAAGAACCAUGAGCUGAUCAAGGGUCGAGAAAAAACCUGGUGGGAGAGGACCCGAGAGACGGUUAUGAGAAAGAUCGAGAUGAGAGAGACGGUGAAUGUUCUGAACAGACGAAGCGAGAGUGCCAGAGAGUCCUCUAAAGGGCAAGGAAAUCAUAGUGACGUGACUAUCGGAUGAAUCAUCGCAGGUAAUUCCCUCCCAGGAACAACAAUCAAUGGACAAAUUCCAAUUCAAAGGAGAAACAGAAGAAGAAACAUUGCCGGAAAACGACAUGAGAGAUUCUCGGUCUUGUAGGUUACAGACAGCUUCUGAAAGUGUAAGAAAGAGGGCAGAUAGGAAAAGAAGACAGAGGAGGAAGAGAUGCAUGUGAGAACUCAGAGGCUGUACAGGUUUUGUGAUUAAUGGUCUCACAAGACCUUUGGCUUUGGGUCUCAUUUCCUUAUCUAUCAUAGCGAGGAGAAGAACAAUACAGAGAAGAAGAAGAGAAAUAGAAAACUUCUUGUCGAUACAGAGGUGACCAAGGGAAAUAGUCAGCCCCAGAGAAAACUUCUUGUGUGAUCUUGUCAAUACCAUCGUUGACCAAGGCAAAUUAAUCAGUCAGUAGCUUCAUUUCUAUUUUGUUUCUUAAGCCCUUUGAUUAGUUUGUUAUAACAUUGUUAAUUUUAUGUUCUCUGUGUUUUGUUUAUGGCAGGAUUUGUUUUCUAAGUUGACUCGAACCCAGUGGCCACUUAAAUCUAUGAAUUUUCUAACAAUAUAACAAUGUAGAUUGUAGAGAGAUCUUAUAUCAUAUCAUAUGUUUAUGUCUUUAUGAUGAUAAAAAGAUAAUCUCACUAAACAAAAACAAAAUCAUCUAGUAAUGGGAAAAUUGUAUGACUUUAUAUUCAAAAUUUAAAAGAUAUCAAAUGGAAAAAAAAUAAAAAAGUAAAUACGUUAAACUGAAAAUUAGUUUUAAAUUAAACAACAAAACUGAGAGUUAUCGUUUUAGAUUUUUAAUUAUUGAGUAAAUAUAAUGGGACGGGUUAGAGAGGGAGUGACCGUUAGGUGGAGAAGUGAGCUCAACAACACUUCACUCACUGCUUCUUCUUCGUCUUUCGCAUCUACUGUUCCGUUAAUGGCGGUACCAAUUGCGACUUGCAGGAGAAUCUACUCUUCAACUGGCCAGCCAUGGAAUGGUGGUUUCAAUUUCAUUAUUCGUGGACCCUUUUUAAAGAUUCCUGUUUUCGCUUCUGUUCCUGGAUUAUUCUUCUCCUCCCAGCCGACGAGAUUAGCAGCUUCGUUCGUGCCAUCAUAUAGGAUCCUGGUGAGUCCUUCGAUCACAAUGAUGGACCAUUGGUCGCAACCUAGUGGUUGAGUUCGUUUGUAGCUCACACCAUGUUUUUGAUGGUUUGCUAUUACUUUGAAUCUUAUGUUCAUCGAAUAAAUUUCUGGGAUUUUGAAGCUGUACGGUGGUUUUAAGCAUGGCAGAGGAUUUAGACGAACCAUUGCUGGAUCCUGAUACUUUCGAUAGAAAAGGAAUUGACUUGGUAUAUAAAUUAUUAUUCAUUUUUACUCAAAAUUCUUGUUAUACUUUUUGUGCCAAGGAAUGGUUUUGACUCUUGAGAUUGACAGGGUAUAUUGCCACUGGAGGAGGUUUUUGAAUACCUUAGAACAUCGCCUCGGGGGCUUUUAUCUGGAGAUGCUCAAGAAAGAUUGAAGAUAUUUGGUCCUAACAGACUUGAAGAGAAACGGGUAAAUAAACACAACAUCUUCAAAGUGUCUUCAUUGUGUUCCUGCCAAGUGUCUCCAUAAUGUUGUGCUAAUACCAUUUAAAAAAAAUGAUACAGGAGAACAAAUUCCUGAAAUUCCUAGGUUUUAUGUGGAAUCCGUUGUCAUGGGUUAUGGAAGCUGCGGCAUUGAUGGCCAUUGCCCUCGCUAAUAGUAAAGUAAGAUAAUCCGCUGUCAUGGGUUAUGAAAUUGUUUCUCUUCUUUACUGUGUGAAGAUACAACUUGAAACUCAUGGUGAAAAUGGUAUUACAGAGCAUGGGUCCUGACUGGGAAGACUUUGUUGGAAUCGUUUGCCUUUUACUUAUCAACGCAACAAUCAGCUUCUUUGAAGAAAACAAUGCUGGCAAUGCUGCUGCAGCUCUUAUGGCUCGUUUGGCUUUAAAAACAAGAGUAUGGCUCUUAACCUUCCAAUGAGCCGAAACGGCAAAUCUAGCUGCACUAUCGUUUCCAUAUUACCUUAAAUUUGAUUUAGAUCCACUCUUAUAGGUUCUUAGAGAUGGACAGUGGCAAGAGCAAGAUGCUUCUAUCUUGGUACCUGGUGAUAUAAUUAGCAUAAAGCUUGGGGAUAUCAUUCCUGCAGAUGCUCGCCUUCUUGAAGGAGACCCCUUGAAGAUUGAUCAGGUACGUCCAGAAUAUCUAGCACUUAUUUGCAUCUCUUUUCUUUUAGUGUACUAUGUAAAGACUUUUUCUAGUUAAACAUUUAUUCCUGCAGUCAGUGCUGACCGGUGAAUCACUACCUGUGACCAAGAAGAAGGGUGAGCAAGUCUUUUCUGGUUCUACUUGUAAGCAAGGUGAAAUAGAAGCUCUUGUGAUAGCAACUGGUGCGACCACUUUCUUUGGAAAAACAGCACGCUUGGUGGACAGUACAGAUGUAACUGGACAUUUUCAGCAGGUUUUUCUUCUUUCUCUUUUGGUUGGAAAGAACCUCUGAUUAGUGAACGUGGAAUCUGGAGAAACCCAAUGUAAUCUAAAAGUUGUGAAAUAUAAUCUGCAGCUUGCAAGAACAUGACAUUUUUCUAUGACAUGUUUUCUUCUAGAUUCUUACAUCCAUUGGAAACUUCUGCAUUUGCUCCAUUGCUGUUGGAAUGGUUCUUGAAAUCAUUGUCAUGUUCCCUGUACAACAUCGUUCCUACAGAGUUGGGAUCAAUAACCUUCUUGUACUACUGAUUGGAGGGAUACCCAUUGCUAUGCCCACUGUACUAUCUGUUACGCUUGCCAUUGGAUCUCAUCGACUUUCUCAACAGGUACAAAUCUUGGUGUCAUUUCUAUUUAGUAUUUAAGAAUAAUAGAGUGCAUAGAGAAGAAUCCUACUGUAACGCUGCUGAAUGCCAAAGGGAAUCCUUUGUUUGUUAUAUUCUUUAAAACAGUUUGCUAGCAAUAAUGAAUUUCAACUUGUUUUGAAAGGGUGCCAUUACGAAAAGGAUGACGGCAAUAGAGGAGAUGGCUGGGAUGGAUGUACUCUGCUGUGAUAAAACUGGAACCCUUACCUUGAACAGUCUUACCGUUGAUAAAAAUCUUAUCGAGGUACCAACGUGCCUUGUUCUCUGUGUUCUAUGUCUAGGUGUUUAAAUAUGCAAAUCCUUCUGCACAGGUUUUCGUUGAGUACAUGGACAAGGACACAAUUUUGUUGCUUGCAGGCCGAGCUUCACGACUAGAAAAUCAGGAUGCUAUAGAUGCAGCCAUUGUUAGCAUGCUUGCUGAUCCCAGAGAGGUAGAGAUGUUUCUCUUACAUGAACUCUCCUUGAUAAGACUAUAUAUCAUUUUCUUAGAAGUUUUCCUCAUACAAAGGUUGUUUAUCUGUAGGCACGUGCAAACAUUAGAGAAAUCCAUUUCUUGCCAUUCAAUCCUGUGGACAAACGUACUGCAAUAACAUAUAUUGAUUCCGAUGGAAAAUGGUAUCGUGCUACCAAAGGUGCUCCUGAACAGGUAAGUAUCACCCUACCAAACUUACUCUAGAUGUAAAAAUUUAUUGAAAUUUUUUGUACUGUGUCCAUGAAAGAAAUACCAUCACUAAUACAACUGUUCUAUAUUAUAGGUUCUAAACUUGUGUCAACAGAAAAAUGAGAUUGCGCAAAGAGUUCAUGCCAUAAUUGAUAGAUUUGCAGAAAAAGGUUUGAGGUCUCUUGCGGUUGCUUAUCAGGUAACAUAAUUGUCCUCUCCCUUUCUCUCUUGAGCUGGUUUUAUCAUAAGUGUACUUUUGAAGAAGAACGUUUCAAUUCAUUUGCAUCAUUUUAAUAAUUGUUUCUAGGAAAUUCCAGAGAAAAAUAGCAAUAGUCCUGGAGGACCAUGGAGGUUCUGUGGUCUGUUGCCACUGUUUGAUCCUCCAAGGCAUGACAGCGCUGAAACCAUCCUAAGAGCUCUUAACCUUGGAGUUUGCGUUAAGAUGAUCACGGGUAAAUCUUAACCUUAAGCUUGAUAGGCUUGGCCCGACAGAGAAACACAUACACCCUUAUGUGUAAAUGGUAAACCUCUGGGAAAAUGAAUGAAAAGCUGAUGAUAAGUUUGGAAAAAAAUGUAGGUGAUCAAUUGGCGAUUGCAAAGGAGACAGGCAGACGUCUUGGAAUGGGAACCAACAUGUAUCCUUCUUCCUCUUUGUUAGGCCACAACAAUGAUGAGCAUGAAGCCAUUCCAGUGGAUGAGCUAAUUGAAAUGGCAGAUGGAUUUGCUGGAGUUUUCCCUGGUCAUAACACAACACAACCAUAGUACCAAUGAAGUUUAAGAUUUGCUCUCAUUUCUGAUCCCAAACUUUUUUUUGUCUCUCAUGUUACAGAACACAAGUAUGAGAUUGUAAAGAUUUUACAAGAAAUGAAGCAUGUGGUCGGAAUGACCGGAGAUGGUGUGAAUGAUGCUCCUGCUCUCAAAAAAGCUGACAUCGGAAUAGCUGUCGCUGAUGCAACAGAUGCCGCAAGAAGUUCUGCUGACAUAGUACUAACUGAUCCCGGCUUAAGUGUAAUUAUCAGUGCUGUCUUGACCAGCAGAGCCAUUUUCCAGCGGAUGAGGAACUAUACAGUAAGUACUAAAGUUAUAGUUACACAACUAUCAUUUGAUUCCUGAUAGCUAAAGAUAAGCAAAUUCAUAUAAUAUAGGAUAUGGAUUUCAAGUAGUCUGAUGAAAUUCUUAAAUAGCUUAUGUUUUUCUCUGAAUUACCGACUAAUCAGUACGAAUCUGCAGGUAUAUGCAGUCUCUAUCACCAUACGCAUAGUGGUAAGGAGCUUCAAGAUACAUGAUCUAGCUCAUGUUAGUUAAGUUACAUCUACUUACUUGAACUUUCUCUUCUUAUCAUUGUUUCAUGCAGCUUGGUUUUACACUUUUAGCGUUGAUAUGGGAAUACGACUUCCCACCUUUCAUGGUUCUGAUAAUCGCAAUACUCAAUGACGGUAAUCUUUUAAUCAAUAGCUUCAAUUCAUGUUGAUUUAAGAAUCCUAAUUCUUAAUACUUUCAAGUGCUUUGUUUAUCUCCUACGCAUCAGGGACCAUCAUGACUAUUUCUAAAGAUCGAGUUAGGCCAUCUCCUACACCCGAGAGUUGGAAGCUCAACCAGAUAUUUGCGACAGGAAUUGUCAUCGGAACAUAUCUAGCAUUGGUCACCGUCCUGUUCUACUGGAUCAUUGUUUUUACCACCUUCUUCGAGGUAUCUUCCUAUCACUCAAAGUAAGUUAGAUUUUGCUUACCGAGAAGAAUGCAUACCGGUGACCAAUCUUUAAUGGCUGCAGAAACACUUCCAUGUAAAAUCAAUUGCAUCCAACAGUGAACAAGUCUCAUCCGCUGUGUAUCUCCAAGUGAGCAUCAUCAGUCAGGCACUCAUAUUUGUAACACGUAGUCGAGGCUGGUCUUUUUUUGAACGUCCAGGGACUCUCCUGAUUUUUGCCUUCAUUCUUGCUCAACUUGUAAGAAUUCCCCAUCCUUCACAAUUUCCAUCACAGAAUGCUAUAUAGCACACAUAGGUCGUUAUAUUGACUUGUCCAUUUCAUGUACACAGGCGGCUACAUUAAUUGCUGUAUAUGCCAAUAUCAGCUUUGCUAAAAUCACCGGCAUUGGAUGGCGAUGGGCAGGUGUUAUAUGGUUAUACAGUCUGAUAUUUUACAUACCUCUAGAUAUUAUAAAGUUUGUCUUUCACUACGCAUUGAGUGGAGCAGCUUGGAAUCUCGUAUUGGACCGUAAGGUUGGUACAUGUUUUGUGACUCUUAUCCUCUGCUUGUUAGUCAGUCUCAGACUUUAUACUCUGCAUUCUCUUGAAGACGAGACUGUUGGUUUGUCUUGCAGACAGCUUUUACUUACAAGAAAGAUUAUGGGAAAGAUGAUGGAACGGCCAAUGUAACCAUCUCUCAGAGAAGUCGUUCUGCAGAAGAACUCAGUGGAAGUCGUUCUCGCGCUUCUUGGAUCGCUGAACAAACCAGGAGGCGUGCAGAAAUUGCCAGGUUCUCAUUUUAUCUACAUUCCAUUUUGGGUAUUCUCUUCCAUUUUCACAUACAACCAAAAUAACUAUAAUGUUUUUCAUUUGGUAGGCUCCUAGAGGUUCAUUCAGUGUCAAGGCAUUUGGAAUCAGUGAUCAAACUCAAACAAAUUGACCCAAGAAUGAUCCGUGCAGCUCAUACUGUCUAAAACACUCUCUUGAUUUUUCCCUAACUCAAAAUUUACAUAAAGAGGGAUCGAACAAUCUUGUGUUCCUCAGUGAAGUAAAAACAAUAUGUAGAGCAUUCAUAUGAUCUGUAGUCUUGUUUUCCGGUGACAGCAAAAAUUUCACCUGAUCUGCUCUGUUGAGAUCAAUUGUAGACCAUAUAUGUAGGUGUUGCACUGAACUUGUGAUAACUCUUCAUCACUUUGGUUACUGCAUCUAGAAAAUCUUUCUCAGUCACUGUCUUUCUCCGUGCUCGAAUAGCAAACAUGCCAGCUUCUGUGCAUACGCUUCUGAUAUCAGCUCCUGAAACGUUUAUAUCCAUUCAGUUUAGUGACAGUAAUGAUAUCUCUAGAAGUUAGUAGGAGAUUGAAAAGAAGAAAGAAUGCGUGCCUGAGGUAUUAGGACAAAGGCGAGCAAGCAGCUCGUAGCGGAUAUGCUUAUCACAGUUCAUUGAUCUUGUAUGGAUCUUGAAUAUAUGUAUCCUGCCUUGUAAGUCUGGAAGACCAAACUCAACCUUACGGUCUAACCGUCCAGGACGCAGCAAAGCUGGAUCUAGUGAGUCAGGCCUGUAAAAUCAGGAUUAGGAACUAGGCAAUGGCUGCAUUUGCUUGCGAAAUGAUGUGAAAAAAAGACGAAGAAGAAAAGAAACCUGUUUGUAGCCAUAAGUACUUUGAUAUUCCCUCGCUGAUCAAAGCCAUCAAGUUGGUUCACAAUCUCCAGCAUAGUUCUGUGGAUCCCGCUGUCUUCGUAGGGACCAACACCAACCCUUGCACCUCCAAUGGCAUCAACUUCAUCAAAGAAGAUAAUACAAGCUUUUUUCGAACGUGCCAUCUAAAGAAAAUAAACAAGGAAAACGAUAUCAUCGAAAUACUUAUGAUCCAGUGACAAGUAAACCAAUCAAGGGAUAUGAACAUCAGAUGAAAUACCUGAAAAAUUUGGCUGCUCCCAUACCACUACACUUGUGAACAAGCUCAGUCCCUAUAACCCAAAUGAAACAUGCUGCAGUCCUGUUAGCCACAGCUCCAGCCAAGAGAGUUUUACCGGUUCCAGGAGGACCAUAACAGAGAACACCCCUUGGAGGAUCCAGCCCGAGCUUUACAAACUUCUCAGGGUGAAGCAUUGGCCACUCAACAACCUGAAAACAACACCGGUAAGAUGCAGAGGAUAACUGCUUCAGCAGGAUAAAGAAAACACUGAAUUUGCUCACUUCUCGGAUCUGUUGGAUCUGCUCUGUGCAUCCACCUAUAUCAUUGUAUGUCACAUCUGGUGUAUCUUCCACGAUAAACAUUUUGGUUGUGUAAUCAAAUCUUGGAGGCAGUGGCAUCAUUAUUUUAAACUUCGGACAGACUCUGUAAUUGACCAAUAAUUAACUUUGGAUGUUUAAGAAGUAUAAUGUGGCCCACAUGAUGGUGGGCGGGUGGUUUGGCGGGCCCAGGGUGGUUGGGUGCAACUCCCUCCUCUCCAUGGUUCGAUUCCUCCUGCUAGCUGUGGGUUUAUCAAAAAAAAAAAAAAAAAAAAAAAAAAAAAAGAAGUAGAAUGUGAAAGUUGCUCUGAUACCAUAAUCUUAAAGCUAGCACGAGCGGAGGGUCGUGUUGACUAAGUCUAGACGACAGUCGUGUUUACAAGCAAGGGUUCACUUUCCAGGUAAAGGGAGCGAUUCGGGCCUCUUUGCCUCUGUGUUGCUCAACCCACUAUUAGGAACUGUGAAACCCCGGCGAGUACUAUUGACUGCCGUGUUCGACCGUCGUAUUGACGGACCACUUAUGCUAACCUUAAGAGAACAAUACAGAAUCGCGACUGUGUUUAGAAUAGAAAGAAACAAGGUUUAUGAAGAAAGUAGGAAGUCUGGAAAACUUAGAGAGAAGUUAGAGAAACAUUUUAGAGAGAGAAAGCUAUUAUGAAAUUUUAUGAUAUUUCAAGUUAUGAUUUCUUACAAGGGGUACACACUUAUUUAUAGGAGGUUUUAAGGCGCUGACAUAAGCGCUUACCUCAGCGAUUACAUCAUCGCUUACAUCAUUAUUUAUUUUACAUGAUUUUAAACAUAUUAUAUUUUAUAUGUAACAUACCGCUUAAUGAUCCAUUUCGAACUCCAGCAUAUGUUCUUCGCAGCAUCCAUAAUGAUCACCUGGACAUUCAUACGAGUUUUCGAUCAUUUGUGCAUCUUCUCCUGGUUCAACAUUUAUGUAGAAUUGGAACUUCUUUUCGAUUUCUUCAACAUUUACUUCAUCAUCUGGGGAUUGAGCGUCUUUGAAGUAGUCGGCACAGUAGUCUUGAGAAGUCGCCUGGGGAGUUGUCUCUUCUUGUUUAUCUUCUUUUGGACUGCUUGAUCUUUCUUUGUUGAACUUCAUCAUGUGAUACUGUAAAUCUUCAUCAAGUUGCAUCUGAUAGUCGACCGGAUAAUAAACCCAGUUGGGUAUGAAUGGAAUGGGGAACGUUUGUCUUGCAUUGUUGAGGUGAAACGCAUGAGUUUGAAAGUUUUCGUAUGCUUCGUUAUCCUGAAGGUUGAAAUCUGGACGAACUCCUCUUGGAAAAUCACCGUGAUGAAUGAGAGUUGGAAGAGCGAGGAUUUUGCUUGUUUUGCGGUUGACCUUAACGGGACGAUGAAAGAAGUAGAUUGAAUGUGGAUUGAAGAAUGGGUUGAGUCCACCUUUCUUCAACUUCUUGAAUGUUAGAUUUGUCGCAUUCGCUGAUCUUCGUAGUUUUCCACUCCAGACAGUCAAUGGUGAAAACCACCUUAGGAACGUUGAGAAGCUGUCUCUUUUGUCUUGAACAGUGUUGACGUAGUGGUACAGCCAUUGGAUGUCGAAAGCAAUUCCUACCGUGUAUACGGCACAGAGAUACCAGAGGAAACAGAGAACUUCUCCUGGCAUGUUUGAAUUUUCGAUCCUGUAAAGAUGAGCAAACGGAUAGUCAGGAUGAAUUCCCAUUGGAGCAAUGUGAUGACAGUUUACUCCAUAGUUCGUCAGGAUGGUAGAUUGAUAUGAGAAGAUCUUUGUGCGUAGUAGCUCAUGAAGCUUGUUUCUGCUGAUGAGUUGAUGAACAUCUUCGGGUACGUCUGCUUCAAAGUCAUAGUAACUCUUCUUGGUUUCGGAGGAACUGGCCAUCAUGUGUAUCUCGUCGGGCGUUUCCUGUUUUACUGGUUUUCGACUUAGCAUGUCUGCCAAAGUGUUUUUGGUGCCCUUUAAAUAGACUGACUCGAAAUCGUACUUUGAGAACCACUCACUCCAUCUUAGUAGCUGCUGAUGCGGGACCAUCUUCUGCUUGAACUGUAACAUCUUGGGAAACGAAGACAUAUCCAUUUCUAUGCGAAACUUGUGUCCUAUUAGAUGAAAUUCAAACUUUUCGAUAGCCUUUUUGACUGCUAAAAUCUCCUUGAACGUUGAGUGAUAAUGCUGUUCUGAAUCUUUGAAACGACCACUCUUGUAUCCACAGAUUUGUCUUUUCCCAUCCAUCUCUUCAAACAGUAUUGCUCCCCAAUACUUAUCGCUAGCGUCUGUCUGUAGAAUACGCAUGCCUGAGGAGGGAAUCUUUAAAGGAGGUAGCUUUUGCACUUCUGCUUUUAGACUUUUGAUAGCUUCAGUUUGUCGUGAUGCCCACAAAGGAGGAUUUUUCGACAACAUCUUCUGUAGAGGUCUUGUCAUUCUGGAAAGGUGUGGAAUAAAGUCUCCCACAUAAUUGAUUACUCCAAGAAAUUGUUGAAUUUGUCGCCUUGUGAGAUUUUCAUCAGGAAAAUCUAGAAGUUAUGUAGCUAAAUGGGCCUGUGGUGUGAAACUUCCUUCUUUGAUAUGCAUGCCAAGAAAAUCAAUGUUGGGCUGGGCUAUUAUCAUUUUUCUGGCUGAUAGCAUGAUUCCACUUUUCUUGACGAUAUCUUGAAACUGUUGUAGCGCCUGAAUAUGUUCUUCUUCAUUCUUCGAGAAGAUGAGUAUGUCAUCAAUGUAUAUAAGGGCUGUGUGUAACAACGGCUCGAAUAUACGUAACAUUGCUUGUUGAAAUAGCGAUGGCGCCGUCUUGAGACCAAAGGGUAAGACAUUCCAUUGAAGGUGUCUAUUUGGAAGGCAAAACGCAGUCUUGUAUCUUUCUUCAGGAUGAACACCGAGUUGCCAAAAUCCUGACUUCAGAUCAAACUUCGAAAAUAUUUUUGCACCUUGGAGAUGUUGAAGAAGCGCUCUUUUAUUUGGCAGUGGAAACUUGACGUCUUGCAGAUACUGGUUCAACGGUUUGUAAUCGAUAACUAAUCUGAGUUUUCCUCUUGCUUGUUCUGCACGAUUAUUAACGUAGAAUGCUUUGCAUGCCCAUGGAGAGUUUGUUCUUGAGAUGAUACCUUGAUCCAUCAAUUGAUUGCAUUCCUCAUUUGCCUUCUGCAACAGUGUUGGAGGCAUUCCUGCAUGGCUUGCUUUUGUUGGUGUUGUGUGCACAUCUUCUUUGAAUGGUAGGGAUACGAAGAAGCUUGAGUUUAACCAUAACGGAUGGUCGCACUUUUGAAGGAACUCUGUGUGUGAAUCUGCACAUGAUGCCAUCUUUAGUUCUUCCUCAAUUUUGUUGAAUUUUGCAGAUGCUGAGUCUUCGAUUGAGAAUAGGCGAUGCAUCGUGGUAAAGGCCUUGUAGAGAUUUUUCCAUCUCACACCUCUUGGUUCAAGAGAAAUACCGAACUUCUUCUUCAGUACCGAAUAAGUAUCCCACCCAAGAAUUAAGUCUUUACCAGGUGCAGAUGAACCUAGUACUUCCUUAGUAACUUGACAUCCUGGGAAAAGCUCGAUCGUUAUCGGUUUUGAUUUUAGCCUAACCGUCAGGGAUCCAGCGUUUGCUACUCUGAAAUCUUGUUGAUAAGGCAUCCACAUGGCUCGUGAGAGUAUCUUUGGAUUUAUGAUUGUUGUAUGAGCUCCUGUGUCGAAGAAUGCGAUUGCGUGCACUGGCUUUUCUCUUUUGGAAGGAUCGAAGAUGGUUACUGGUAGAUGUGGUGUCUGCAGUUCGUCUUCUUGAGGCAUCUGGGUAAUCUUGAAACAACAAUCAUCGUCUCUGUCAUCUUCGGAUGAGGAUUCGGAAGAUUCGUCAUAAUCCGAAUAACUGCAUAUAGCAUCAUUCUCGUCACUAUCAUAAGAUAGUAUUGACUCGAGAUCGUGGUUAUCAAUAUCAAGAUCUGGAGCUAUCUUGGAUAUCGAAUGAAUGAGAUACUGCUUCUUCUUUUUAGACUUGUUUGGACAGUCUUUUGCAAAAUGCCCCGUCUUUCUGCAUAGAAAACAUCUUGAAGUUUUCUCGAAGCUUUUCUUUUUCCUAAAGAACCGCUUGCGUUUAAUCUUGUUGAAAUAUUUCGAUUUCAAGAAUGAUUUCUUGGAUCUUCUUCGGUCUUUUCGUCGAUCUUCACAUGAACAAUUUUUCUUUUUCGAACAUUUGAUGUUCAGAUCUGGUCGAGCACAUAUCUUCGAAAGAUGCUUUGACUUGUCCAUGAAUUCUGACCAAAAUUCUUUCUGCUUGCAAAGCUUGUCAAGAGUUCUGAACACCUGCUGCUGUAUCUGUCCAAUCGAGAUUUCUUCGAUUGUUUGCCCUUGAUCUCUGAUAUACAGCUUUGUUUGUUGACUUAGGUAGUCGUCGAUGGAUGAGAGAUACACCUGCUUCAGGCUUGGAUUGUUUAGACCAUUGAGAGCAUAAUACCUUCGAGUUUGCCGCUCGAAAUGCUUUGCCAAAUCUCUCUUCUUCAAUGAACAACACUUCGCUGUGUAGAAUUCUUCUUGUAGUUGUUCUUUUAAAUGAUUUGGGGUACCAACGAAUUCUCUAUGUAUUUCUCCAAGAAGUAGAGGUAUCGUUGUUUGAUACACCUGCUGCUGCCGAUAUUCUCCAAGCGAAUUCCACCAUUCUUUUAAUGCGCCUGACAGUCUUGAUGUGAAUUGUUGUAUCACCACUUCUGUUGGGGAAGUGAUUGCUUCGGAGGUCAUCCACGCAUGAAACUCGUCGAGACGACUAUUCCAUUUUUCAAAAGGAAUGUCAUCGAACGUGAACACCAUUAUCUUUGAUGCAAAUUGUUUCUUUGGUACGCCUUGAGCUUCAUAGCUCAUCUCUUCGUCACUUGAAAUUUCUUCAUAGAUCGGUUCUUCUUUUGGAAUAUGUGACUCAUCUCCGAUUGCAAACUGAUUUGGAAGAGAUUUAUCAGUUUCUGAUUCAUCGACGGAAGAGGUUGACUCUGAAAGAGCUGAGAUGUGAGCCAUUGUAACAAUUGGUAGCGACUGCUGUUCUUUUGAUUGAACUUGCAAUUCUUGUCUUUCAUCAUCAGAUGUUUUCGCAAGAUUGUCUAGUAAACUAGACAUCGAAAACUCGAUCAUCGCAAUUUCUUCUUCUUUUGCAACAUCCUCUUUCUUUUCUUCUUGAGCAGACUCAUGGCUUGAUGAAGAUGUGAAGCUUGGCUUCUUGGAUGGAUUGAUGGGAAACUCAGAAUCCUUUUGACGCCUUGGUUUAGUUCUUGCCGCCUUUGUUUUGAAAUUGCUGAUUGAGGUUGUACCGAACCGAGAUGUAAAGGCUUCAUCCGAGGAUAAGAAUCCAGGUACAGGCUGUUUUGGUUUUGGAUCUUGAUAUCCAGACAGAAAUCCUGGAGAAUAUGAUUCUUGAUAUGUGGGUAAUCCAGAUGACAUAUAGUCAAAAGGAUUAUACAUAUUCACUCGCCUCUGAUUCUGGACUAGACUUUCUAGGCUUCUUUGAAGAUCUUUGAGUUGAUAUUUAAGACUGGUUUGUUCAGCUUCUUUACUUCUGAACUGAGAUGUAUUAACCUUCAUUUGUUUCGCCAUAGCCAUCAUUUCUUGGUGCAAGUUGCUGAGUCUCUGUUGAAUCUCUGAUAUGGCUCCUUGCAGACUGUUGAAUCUUCUAUUGUUGUUCUCCGACAUUUAAUCAACCUUGUGGCUAAUGGAUGUCAGUAAUUGAUUUUGAACAAAGGCAUUUUCUGUUUGCCAGUUGAGAACCUUUUCUGCUUGGCUUAAUUCGUCUGGUCCAGCGGAGUUGAUGCUGUUUGGAACAAUUUUUGGUGUAUGCAGCACAUUGUCUUUGACAAAGUCCUUUGGUGGAGGAAAGUCCGUUCUUAUCAUCAUGAGUUGCUGAGUUGCUUCUUCCUUCUUUGUUGAAUACUCGACUAUGAAGUCGUAGUUGUCUUCACCAAGUGGACCAACUGUAGGAUCUCCUUCAAGGUAGCGUUUAUAGAGUGGAUCCUUCUUUUUUCUCCGUCUUCUUCGCUUUUCAUCAUCCGAUUCAUAAGAAUCUUCUAAACAUGCGGUGCAUGAGCAGACAUCGAAGUAGCAAUGUCCGUUCUCAUCUUUGAAUGGAUAUACGACAGUUCCAUUCUGCCCAAAAGCGAUUGGUUGAAGAUCUUUCUUUUUGACGGGAUCAUAGAACUCUUGCUCCUCAAUUUGGAUAGUGAAUUGAGUAAAGAGUUUCUUUUGAAAAGAUGAACUUGGCUUUUCAAACUUUAUCUCCGUGGUUCCGUCGCUUCUAGAGUGAAAGCUUACGUCAGAUGACUGAAUCGGUGCUUGAGAUGCUUGAUGUAUCUUCUCAUAGCUUGUUACCCAUGACUCUGGCAGUUUUCGUAGCAAUUCCUCUCGAGAUAUCUGUCUCGGGAUUUGAAUAGAGUUGGGUGCUUGUGAUGCCGAUGUGACUUCAAGGUAUAAAGCUUCAUCUGAUGCUGGUAGUGCAAGAUCGAGGGCAUGAUCUUGGAUUCUGUAUACGAUCUGAUGAUGUAGAGUUGCUGCCACACUUUCUUCUUGCAUAGGUGCUCCGAUUAGUUGUAAUUGAACCUUAAGCGCCUUCAGGAGAUUUGGAUCUUGUAGUGAGACAUUGAAAUUGGGAAACAGUGUUAUGAAUACUGUUCCUGCGUUCAGCGUUGUUUGUACUGUUCCGAUGCAAGCUUGUUGAUAGGAUUUGAGCCUUGAGUCAAGCAAAGCAAUCCGUGCUACAACCGGUAAACCUUUUCGAGCGUGUAAGGUUAACCCGAUUCGUACCACACCAAAGUGUAGAUGAGUGUAGCCUUGCUGCUGCCAUAGCCUUGGAAGAUGCUCCGGGAUAUUUAGCGAGAUGAAUUGUUCUUCUUCGGUGGCUGGAACUUGACAUGAUGAAAACUUGCUGGAUUGUACAUACUCCAAUACUCGUCGGCUGGAAGAUGGCCUGAUCAGAUCGCGAACACUUUUUACUGAAAAAGCACUAGGCUUUUUAGCAAAGUAUUCAUAAGGAUUAACCAACGGGAGAGUUGUUUCCGGCAACUGAUCUCCGGGAACAUAUUCAAUCUCAUACAAGGAAUUUAUCUUAGAAAGAGAAUUAUUUCUUUGGAUUUUUGGUAAAGUAGAUAUAGCAAAUUGAGAAUCUAUAGAAGGAUUUAGCUGAGGGUGUUUAGGAGGCUUAGAAAGAGACAUGAUUGAGAGUUCGUUUUCCAGAACAUUCAAAACGAUCAGUCAUAAACAAUGAUUCUCUCUACCUUCACACAAGUCUUUGGCUCUGAUACCAUAAUCUUAAAGCUAGCACGAGCGGAGGGUCGUGUUGACUAAGUCUAGACGACAGUCGUGUUUACUAUUCAGAUGAACUUGGCUUUUCAAACUUUAUCUCCGUGGUUCCGUCGCUUCUAACCCCACACGUAACAUUGCUCUGUUUGUACAUGAAACAAAGAACUAACCCCACACGUCGGUUGGAGAGAGACUGCUGCUCAGAGAAGCAACGUACUUCUGCAAUUACAAUAAAACAACAUUCAGACAGGCUACAAUGAGAAAAAGCUUGAAGAAGGCUAAUAAAAAUAUGGAGUUAUUAUUGAAUAGUACCCGCGAGUUUUUAGUCUGAAUGACAUAUCUAGCAUCUUCAGAGUUUGGAUUGAGUAUCGCCGUGCAUGUAAAAACCUAAAUGACGAAAAUCUUAUCAAGAACCUUGUAUAUCCAUCACAUCGCUGAAUUUGGAAGACUCUGAGUGAGAAAAUAUCAGAUACCCGCAGAUUUUGUUCUUCAUCCAUCAUUUCUUCAUCGCCGACAAGAUCCCACUGGCUUCGUGGAGCCAAACCCAUGUCAGAUUCUUCCACCCCUGAGAUCAACCAGUAAAAGCAUUCAAAGACAAAAAAAACCAAAAUAAGAGAGAGUAUUCAUGUUUUUACACAAGAUCAAAAUGAUUCAAGAAAGUCAACAACGCAUUGUUUUUUCAGAAACAAAAAAAAAGCGCACCGCAUAUAUCGUUGAUCUUCUUUUCCCUUUCUUUUAUCUCUUUUUCCAGUUUCCUUAUAGCAGCAUCAUAAGGUCCUAAUGCCUGGAGUUAAAUUGAAAAAAAGAAAAGAAAAAACAGAAUCAACAAUAGUUCCUACUUGGGUCACUCAAGAACAUAACUUAAGAGUUCGAGAUAAAUGCAUUAUAUCAAUCUUGGAUUUGUUACUAGAUGAUGACGAGAAGAACGGACCAAGCAAGAACAGAGUAAGCCAAAUAACAGAAUCAUCCAUAAACAUGCAUGAUUCGAGAUUGAAGUAAGAUUCAAAAGUAUCAAAUUACUGAAACUUCUAUAUUGGUAGAGGUAACGAAUUGGGCAAGAACUACGAUGACGUAGGGAUGAAGAAAUAACGUACAUGGGUUUUGAGAAUCGCAAUGUCUUCUUCGUCUAUAGGAAUAUGCUUCUUGUCCUCAUUAUCGUGCUCCAUUGUUACUCUCUCAGACUCUCAUAAUUAUAUUUUGCUUCGAUCGCUUUACUCUGAAGGAGAAAGAAAGAUGAAUUAUAUAUUUCUUGAAAGAGAGGGAAAAAUAUGAAGGGAAAUAACUUUUAAACAUAUCCUCAGGUUUCGAUUACUAUUUAAAAUCGCCCCUUUACUUAUUAUCUUAUCAAUUUCAACCCUGCAUCGUUUCGUCUGAGUAGGUAAUAUUAAAAAAUCACCUCUUUUAUUUCCUGUGUAAUCAAAUAUUACCCCCUUGUUUUAAACUAUUGCAAAUUUAGUCCACGUUCUGUGUUCAAUAAAUCUUGGUAUACAAUUACAUGUUUCAAAAGCAGUCAAGCUUGUUCUUAUAAACCAAUUACAUGUUUCAAAAGCAGUCAAGCUUGUUCUUAUAGAACUGAAAAUUCUCAAGCAAAAAAACUCUAUUUCACCGACACAAUCACAAAAUCGUCGGAAAAGAAUUAAACGAAUUUGACAUUAACGACGCCUAUUAUAAUACAGGUAAAGAAGAAGAACCAUGGAAACAGAGGAAAGUUAACGAAUGUGUUGACUUUUUUUUUCAUUUUCAGCUAUGAAGUUUGGUUCUUCGCCUCUACAGAGAUACUCAUCGCACAUCGAUGAAGUUCCCCAGUCUUUUCUUAGCCGCAAGAUAUCCUCUGUAAAAGUAGAACCCGAUGCUCCAAUGAAGACACUGGACAUUGCACAUAUAGUCUUAUCCAACAUAGCAUCCACCUACACAUUCCAGAAACCAAAGCAUAAGCAAGUGAAUCUCUCCUCAAAGAAGACGGGAACAAAGAGUCUAAGGAUUUUUCUCACACCAAAGACUGUUACUAGAUCAUAGACCGUUAUAAUGGAUAUCUUUUCAAUACCACAUUGGAGAUACUGUUCAAGUAGAGAAUAAAGUCUUUGGCCCUAAACAAGUAAUAAAUUCGUUACCUGAGAGUCAUCUUCUAUACCAUGUCUAUACAACAACGAGUCCCACUUUUCUGCAGAGUUGCGAGGUGGACGUUUGACAAGGGGAACGACUUUUCCAUUAACGACUACUAGUGACUGAAGCAGACCGGUUUCGCUUUCUGCAGCAUCUGUUGAAAGGUAGAUGACUGGAGCAUUGGCCCUUUCCACCAUCCGACUGAUGCAGUCUGCAGCUUGUGGUAUAGGAUAAAAACAACUUGGCGAUUUUGCAUUGCUGGCAAGAAAUCAUUCAUUAGACAGAGCCAGCUAUUAAUGAGACACAGAUUUUGUUAAAAUCCAAUCCUAGUCCCUAUAUCGAUCAUCAAUAUCAGCACAGUAUUCAAUUGCUACACAGACAAACUGCUGGAUGGAGAUAUCCCAAUCAAUUGAGUGUGGGCUACACUAUGAAGAUACAUAAUGGCAACAAUGAGAAGGUUCCAUAGCCUAAAAAGGGAGAGAUGCAACAAAAAAAAAACUCACCAGAACUUAAGGAACCCAUGUCUACGGAGAUGAAGCGAGAUGAAAUUCUUUCCUAAGAAUGUCUGGAUGAAUCGCUGUGCCGUCACCAAAAUGAGCCUACUGGGUUCGAUCAGUGUUUUACAUUUGUGAUUGAUGGGUCCACCAGGCUGCAUCACCAAAUCUUGCUCCAUAUCAGCAUAGAAGACAUCCCCUAUGGCGAUCACACCAUCAUCAGACUUAAACUUUUCCACUACCUCUUUAGAAGUUCGCUUAGUUGGCUUCUUUAUAUCUUCAAUCCAAGGAGCCUCAAGCUUCCCACCAAUGGAAACCCCCAAUCCCUUCAGCUUCUUGAUAUGAUCCUCAUCCACAUAACAAGGCUGUGGCGAUGAGAAGUAACAGAUGAACCUGUCAAUGUGAGCAUUGUUCUUCUUAUCAAUCUCCUUGAACUGAUCAAAAGAAAUGACAACAGUUCUUCCCAAGCACGUAUUAAUCCGCUCUAUAUCUAUCACUCUAUCAUACUGGUAAUCAAACUUAGAGCUUGGAAUCACGAGAACUCGAUCCAGCAGCGCAGCAAAGAACAUAUGUUUCUCUAAGCAAAUCAAGUGGUUACUCAUUUGACCUGAGAGACAGAUAGCAAAAAGGAACUUUUCUGGUCUAGGCUUCCAUUCGAUCGUUUUCCGCUCCAACAACUUCUGAUCUACCUUUUUACACCUAUCAUCGUAGUAAGAACCAGUGAUACUAUCUGAACCAGAACCAGUGACUGAGUAAUUCCCAGUCUUGUGUGGUGAAAGAAGGACCUCUUCGAUUUCCUUAUUCACUGAAAUCUGCUUCAGUAGAGCAGCUUUCACAUUGUCUAUUAAUACAGAAGAACCAAUUGCAUUCGAAGAAUUGAAAAUCGCACGGUUCAACAGAGAGACAAGUGCGAGCUGUUGCUGCCUCAGAAGAUUCAGAGCUUGGAGCUCAGAUUCCUUGACCCGACUCGACAUUGGAUCAAGCUUAAAGCUCGAGAGAUCUACUGAGAAGAAUCUACGAGUAUCAGUAAAUAAGAACAAAAAUCCGACGAACAGAGUUAGAGAGACGACAGCAACGACGUAACGCUUGUUAACUGAGAUUUUCCAACGGUUUCGAGCUCGCGAUACGAUUUCAUCGAUCUGAAACGCCGAUCUUGGACUCCUACCACCGCCGUUAGCCCUAUUUAUGGCCCUGGCGGUGGUGACGGAGUGAAGCUCGUCUUCACGGCGGAGGUCGAGAUCGUUGUCUCUGGUGUCGUUCUGUGGGAUUAAAUUCCGGUGGUCCUCUUCAUCGUCCGACGAGUUGCGCACCAUCGACGAGCUGGAAAUCUAUGGGAGAUAACAAAUCCAAACAGUACGAUUCUUCUCAGAGUAUCCAAAUCUCCAAAUUCAAAAAAAAUCGAAAUUCGACAGAAAUGCGAAUAAGCAAAUUAAAAUUAUUAAGUUAACAUUAUUUAACCGAUAACAAUAAUCACUGGACUGGACUCGAGAAGAAGAUUGGUAACCAGUCAACGUCGGUGGUUGAAGAGAUUGAACCGGUACAGCCAAACCACUUUUUUAAUUUAUCAUUAUUGUGAUGAGUAUGGUUUUUCUUACUAAUGGGCAUAAAGUGACAAUUGCUUAAUUGGCCCAGUAUACCUGACAAUUCUACUAUUUCAUUAGUGACGAAUAUUCUUGUAGCUACUCUGAAGAUGUCAAAAUUGUGUCUCGGCUCUGUGUCACUUCUGUUUAAGAGCCUUCUUUGUCAUUAAGUUACUACAAAAAUAUUGCAAAAAAUUGACGAAUUAACCUGUGAGCUCUUGGAGAAGUACAAUUUGAAAACCAUACGGUUCUAUUUUAUCAAAUCCAAACCAUUACCCUCAAUUCAUAUACUAUACAAAGUAGUUCCAACAAAGCUACAAUAUGUAUGUAAAUGUGAAACCAAACUUAUGUUAUCUGCUUUUACAAGCAAACCAUGAGGGGCUAAAAUGAGUAAGUUCAGACGAAGAGCACUAGACAAAAGGAGACUACUCUUGAUGCUGAAGAGAGAGAGAGACAAGGAGAGAUUUUACCCGAUGGGUUGUCCAGGUCGGGAACUGUUGCAUAGAAAUUACAGUUGAAGUAAAGGCAAAGCCAUUACAACACCGAAAACCGACACUAGCAACAGUAUUAUCCAUGCUGGCAAUCCCUGUUUCUUGUUCUUUUUCCUCUCCUUCAAGCCACCUUCUGAGUCCUCCUUAGUUGGAUCGAUGGUUUUCUCUGACUCGACUUUGGUAUCGCUCUUUUGAGGAGACUCUGAUGUUGUCACUUGUGUGGCAGCUUGCUCAGCUAGUUGCUGCUGGUUGUACUUCUCUACGUACUCUGGAAAUAGCUUUCGAAAUGCUGGGCUGUGACAUGUAAGAACAUUGGAUUCAGGUUCAAGACCAAAAGCAUGUAAGCUUGGGACUGCAUUCAUUCCUAUGUUCGUUAUCUAACCAGCUUUUAUGACUAUCCUAACCACAAAUAACUAAAUUUAGCUUCUAAAUGAAUCCAGAAUUUAACAAAUUUUGAUGGUGGGAAAACCUUACGUUUUACAAUUGAACGCUAGAGAUGACUUAGCCAACCGUUGUUUCUCAGCUACAGUAGUGUUCACACUUCCAGUUGUCGGACUGGUAUCCAUCUGCGCCACAAGUCAAACGUUUAGAGGAAGCUUGGGAACAGAAAAAGAAAAAAAUCAUAAUAAUAUCUAAGCUAUAAACCAUUACAAUAUAAGAAAAUGAAAAUUUUCAAACAAGAUGUCCAUAAAUUUGUAGAACCUACAAAGAGCUUACCAUAAAUGAGAGAAGGCCUGUAAGUAUGCUGCAUUCGUGAAAAAAAGUGGGUUAUCAACAGGUAUAUCAAUUGUCAUCUUCCAAAGUAAAGAAAGAAUCUAUACCUUGACACAGACCACAUCGGAUUCCAGCUCUCUGGGUGAACUGUACAUGCCAUGUAAAUUUAUUUAGAUAUUGGACAACUUAAUUGAUACGAAAUGAACAGAAAGUGCAGAUUGUCCUUACAAUCACUCAUAGACAAACAAAUUUUCUUUUGUGUCAUGAAUCGACCAUUUGGUGUAGUCAUUCUGAGGCCAACAAAUAAAAUAUUUGGUUCAUUAGAAACUUGACUAAAACUGAGGUAAGAUUAAUGUUGAGACUGAAGUCGGAAGAACCAUUGGAACAUACGUAAUCCCAGGUGGCUUGUAAGGAUACUCAGGAGGAAACUUGAUCUUUCCAUAGUAAAAACCCCCUGUUAAAAAGAAUUUUAGUAUCAAAAAUAAGAUAGUCCAAAAGACAACACUAACAAGAAACUUUCAAAAGAAGAUUUUCACCUGCAAAAGGUGUUCCCUCACUACCUUCCAGCACAUAAUCUGUAAGAUUAAUUCACUAGUUAACUCUACGUUAGUAAGAGAUCAAUCAAGCUACCUUUUUAACAUACUAAAUGUAAUACAAAGACUGAAACUCCCUAACCGCUAACAGCCUUUCACAAUUGAGAAGAAAAAUGUCAAAUCUAUGCAUUGUACGUAUAUAUAAACCUUUUGAUAAAUAAGUCUUCACCGUUCUAUCAAAGUGAUGGUUAAAAUGUGAGACGUCCUCUGUCUACUUACAUCGUAGUAACCCAUUGUUUCAUAGUUUAACGUAUAUUCACAAGUGUAGCAAAUAUGUCCAUCAUAUAUACCUCUUCCUAACACCUUUAUAGAAAAGCUUGCAACAGGAUUACGGGAAGCCAGCAGGAGAAAUAAAGAUUAAGAAAAAAAGAUAGGAAAGGCUUACGCCACUCGAGAAUGUCAUUUGGGGAAGGACGAGCAACAACAUGGGAGACUGGUUCCUAAAGGCCGAAAACAGAACAAAUUAUAAAUAACCCCCAAAGAAACAAAAGAAAAUAUGAAACUUACUCUAGAACAAAACCAAGAAAAUAUUCACAUACAGAUACAGCAUCAUUGGAAAAGUUGAGAGAGAACUGGUUGAGUAAUAAAAAUGAGGAAUAGUGGUUCUUGCUGAAGAGGUGUGGAAAACAAGAGAAGAGAUUGUACCUUGCAAAGUGCUCUAUAUUCCUUUUGAAGACGUUUUAUACAAGCCUUUUCUGCCAUCUAAGAGCUAUGGACUAAGUGUGUAGCUGCAGCUGCUGUUAAUCAAUAAAACGAAAUAUAAAUUAGAGUGAAAGUCCACCUACUUAACUUAUGAAAUGAACCAAAACACAUACUAAUUCCGUUGUCCGAUCAAUUAGAAAAGGAAAGCAUUCCCUGUAUGCCAAACAGAAUCAGUGGUAUCAAUGGUUUACCUCAACCUUGGACAGAAAAAUCAACCAAAUACACACAAGAUCAAAUGAAACUUGAAUCAAACAACACUAUGAUAACUAAAAAUCCCCAAUUUCCAUGAGCUUGGGAAAAUCACUGCAAACCAAUUGAAAGCAACGAAAAUUCAAUUGAAUUCCAACCGAAUAAGAGGAAAUUAUCUGGAAAAUAUCUCAACCUAGCAAAUCGUUUGAUUCAACCGAGAAAAUUGCAACAACAGUAAACGAACAAAAUCACAUCAGAAGAAAAUGCAGCGAAGAAAUUCCAAAGUAGAUAACAUCAGAUCGAAGAAAGAAUUGCGAAAAUAUGAAAGAAAUUGAGCACCUCAAUCGAAAUUUUGUCGAGGAAGAUUUUCUCUCUGGGGUUUCUCGUUAAUUAAUCACUUUCUCCUUCUCCUCGGGUUAGAGAGAGAGAGAGAAAGAAUUAGCCUAAACUCGCGCUUGGUUUAUCUAAACCAAACACAAGUUAGACCGGUAUUGUAUAAUCCAUUCCGGUUCGUUAUUUGUAAGCCACACACCCACCCCACAAGAUAAAAUAAAAACCCAUUUCUAAUUGAGGAUCAAUGAUUUGAUAAUUCAUUUUUGCGUGAUGCACUUUUCCCUAUUUCUUUAUUCUCCACUCAUCAAAUAAUCUGUGCCGGUUCUUGGAAUCAACUUUUCCUUCUCUUCACAAAAUGAAAACAUAAAUAAAUAACUGCAGAAGAAAAGAAAAAACAAUUUUGUGAAUUAAAAAACUAGUGAUUAGUAGAGCGACAAAACCGGUGUUACCUGCAAUUUUUCCUUUCUGAAAUUGGACUUACACUAAUACCUCCAAAUUCCAAAGUUAUGUCUUUAGAGCAUCAUUAUAGGGGGAUGUUAGCUGAAUCUUAGGUAUUAAAGUGAUUUAAAUUAAAUAGUUAAUAUCUUAAUAAGCUAAGGAACUAAAGAACGUUCCUUAGCUUAUUAAAGUAUUAACUAUUUAAUUUAAAUCACUUUAAUACCUAAGAGGUGCCACGUAUCACGUUUUGAUUGGACGGAUUUCACAUAUUCUACAAAUACGCUUUCUAAUUUCUUCGAUAAUAGAGCUCGAGUUCGUGAUUGAGGUAUGCAUCAACAAUUGAAAAAUGAUUUGGUCGAGCAUAUAUGGACAAAAUAUAGAAGAAAUUAAGUUUAAAAUAUUUGUGAUUUAUGUUAUAAAUUGUAUCUCAUGUAUGUUUUAAUUUUUUUAAUUUGCAACAAUUAUUAAAUUUUCUAUAAAUAUAAAUUUUAUUUUUAUAUUAAUAUUUUUUUUUCUAAGAACCACAUGUUAAGAGCCUACCAUUAAUCACACAAAAAUCUUAACUUAAAAAUACUAAUCUCUUAACAAUCACUUUUACAAAUAAAUUAUUUAAAUAUUACUAAGAUCUAUCUCUAUAUAAUGAUGCUCUUAGGGCAUAUGCAACGGUAAAACAAGAAGAUAGUUCUUAAUUAUUAAAAUAAUAUUAAAGUUUAUAAUAUCUAAGAACAGUUCUUCAACUGAUGCUACAACAGUUCUUCAGGGAGAACAUCUACCCAUGCUCUUGAGUAUAUGUUCCUCAAUUUUAUUAUUUUUAAAAUCUAAGAACAGCCCAACAAAUUGGCCUCAUAAAUAUGGUCUUAGAAAAAACUUAUAAUAAAAUGAAUAAAGCUAAGUUUCAGCCUCUUUUGAGUUCCCCGAUAACAGUAGGCAGAAAUCACGUGCUCUAAUCACAUGACCACCAUCUCUUUCUCUUAGUUUCAAAGCAGUUACACGAGUUAGGUAAUGUGAAUAUGUGGAUCUUUGUCUCUACAUAUGAUAUUGUAUCAUUGUUUCAAUGUAGAUGCUGAGGAAUAUCAUCAUCAUCAGUAAAUGAUUAAGAAUAAGAUAAGUAUCUCACCAUCUGAUUAAAUAGCAAUAGUCAAAGUAAGAUCACGUGAUCAGAUCCCAAUAACUAUGUGUUCAAACACACACAAGUCUUUUUCUAUAAAACCAACAAAGCUUUAGAAGUCUCUCGUCCCUCUCUCUCCCUCUUUCUCCAACUCACAUCUCUAUCCAAUAUUUUCUCAGUUACAGUCACAAGUUAAGAGGUUGCAAGAGUCCUAACGGAAUUACAAGAAGAAAACUCACAAUGAAAAGAUACUGUUCAGUGGCUCUGGUUCUGUUACUUGUAGCUUUCUUUAGCAGCAAGUAUAGUGUAGAAGGCCGUUCUCUGUUAACGAUGACACAUUCGAGUCAAGCUCAGAGAGAUUUGCAUGUAAGCAAGGAGAUGAAGAAAGAGCCACUUAAGGGAGAAAAAGAUAGCUUCAGAAGAAUCCCAAGGAGUGGCUCAAACCCUAUACAGAACAAGUAAUGAAGAAACGAGACACGAUCUAGUUUUUUUUUAAUGUAUCCCCAAAGAUGAGUUUUAGGUGUAAUUGACAUCAAAAAGUGUUUCUUUUUGAUUCAGGUGUAAUCCACCGGUAGAUGUUAAAGGAAGUAGGAACCAGCAGAUCACAGCAUCAAGAAAACCUUAAAUUUUAGUUCUUUUUCUUUUUGUCCUUCUUAGAUCCUCUACUUUUUUUCUUUUUUUCAUAGAAUAGGUUAUCUAGACAUGUGUGUUCUUAAUGCUGUAAUCUACUUGAAAUAUAUGAACUCAUCUUUUAAUCUUAUUGAUCAAGAAAAUGCCUAACUCGAGUAGUCUAACUUUCAAAUUCUCAACCUCUUUGAGUGUCUGUGUUCUUCUUCUGUCUCUGCUUUGUGGUUUAUUUUAUUAACUUCAGCAGAUUUAUCAUCAGCCAUAACUCAUGUUCUUCUCAGUGAUGCUUACAAUGAUCAACCUCUUUCUCAUUUUGGUUCUUAUGCUUCAAAUGCAUCCUCAGAUCCAUAAGAUAAAGAAAAGUGCUAUGCAGGAAAUUUGAUUUUCUCUAACCAAAUGCUGAACAACCCUCAUAAUAACCUGAUUGUUUAGCUGCCUAUCUCGAUUUCCACUGAGUACUUCUCACUACAAAACACCUACAAUGAAAGAAGUAAUCACAGUGAGAACUAGAUUCGUACUUCUCUAGUACGCCGAUACAGAUUAUUUACAAAACUUUUGGACCAAAAUAAACAAAGUGGCACCCAACAGGCCAACACGUUACUGUACUACCUUGCAUAUAUAUUACAGUAACAGAAUAGAUGUCUGAAUUUUGGAAACUGAGUUUACUAAUAAAUGUCUGUACUACGUUAAUUUUACUAAAAAUUAACAUAUAUAGUGAACGAGGAAAACUAAAAUUGCAAGUAGAAGAAAAUGCCUACAUCAGCAGCCUUCAGGGGUUGAGGACGACGCUGAGAAAACCGCCGCCGAUUAGCGUUUCAGCAUAAAAGCGUCGUCUUUUUGCUGGUUAAUAAUUGGGAUUUGAUAAAAGUUUUCCGGUUGGGCCGGAAGAGAGUCUCUAAACCGUAAGUCGGCCCAUAAUGACCAAAUUUGAAUAGCGAGAUUUGUCCAAAUUCUAACAGCGUUUUACCCGCCGACUCCGAACAAUAAAACACAUGGUUUUGUCUAAAUCCACGAUCCAGAAGUUCUUUUUGUCGAAUUAAUUGUUCAAUUUGACAAACCAAAAUCAACUAAUAAAAGCAGAAGAAGAAAAUCAUUAUUUUUUUAUUACGACUAAGAAAAUAUCAUAAGUGGCUUACGGAUUGUGGAAACACACUAAAAACAAUAAUAAUCUCAGUACUUUUGUUAACAUAAAAAAAUUCUCAUUAUUUUAUUUACAUUUUGUUUACUACUUUAGUUUGAUUUUUCGUUGAAGAAGAAAAAUAUAAAGUUUGAUUUUUGACAUACUAUUUGGUAAGAAAGGAAAAAAGGAAAACAUUAAAUAUUCGUUGAAAAAGGUUUAAAGAAAUCCGUUGAAAAUAAAGGAAAAUUACAUAAAUUCCAAAUCGGUGGAUGGUCAAAAAAAUGUCAAAAUCAGUGUGAAUUGGAGAGAGAGAGAGAACACAGGAAUUGGGAAGUUUCGUCUUUGAGCAAAACUAUCCAAAAGCUAAAUUUGGAUUGAGCAACAAGCUUUUAGUAUAAAUCCCUGAUCACACAUCACAAAUGCGGAGAUUCGUGAUUGGUCAAGCUAAAAAUCUCAUAGAUCAGAGUCGUCGUCGCCAACAUAUUCAUCACAAAAAUCUCAGCUUUCUCUCUCUUCUUCCUCCUUUUUCUGCUCCUUCCGAUUCUUCAUCGCGCCACUUGUCUUCUUCUUCUUCGGAGAUGUCUGCUUCUGAUUCCUCUUCCUCUCUUCCCGUUACUCUUGACUCCAUCAAUCCCAAGGUCCGUUUUUUUCUUUUCUUUUUUCCUCUUUUCUCGCCUUUCUCUUGUUCAAUCAAUAGUUGAUCUUUUUGGGUUCCUUUUUUUAGUGAUUUUGCAUUCUGGGUUUGGAUUAUUUUUCCUCGAUUGAUCUGGGUUUUUCGCAAGCUUUGAUUUUGUUAUAUACUCCGAUAAAAUUUAUGAUUUACGAUUUGUUAAAGCAAAGAGCUUCGUUUAAUUUCUUCGAGAUUGCUCUGUACUUGAUUUAGGGUUUCUAAGGUUGAUGUUGUUUUAACAACCUCUCCUUUUGGGCAUCAUGUUUCGAUUUUAUGCAUAUUGUGAUUCGUAUCCUCGUCUCCGCAUCUCGAUCAUUGACCCUUGAUAGCUUUAUUUAUUUCUUUUACGAAUUAUAUUAUCCUUUGUUUAUUUAUACACACAUAUAUCAAACUGGGACUUUUUAGAAUCCAUUUUUGUUCUUUAGUUUUUUGCGGAUAUUAAAAAAAGUCUGUUGCAUUCUGGAUUCUUCAUUUGUUCUUCCUUGUGCUUACCUCAUACUUUUCAAUUGAAUAGUUUAUUGUCAAGGAACAGUUCUGCUUUUAAAAUCUUGCUAUAGUGACUGAUGUCUUGAAUAUUUUCCUUGGUUUUUUUAUUUCUUUUUGGGGGAUCUCAGGUUAUCAAAUGUGAGUAUGCUGUCCGUGGAGAAAUUGUCAACAUUGCUCAGGUUAACAUCAUUGUCCUUGAUUGUAUUUUUCUAAAGUGGAGACUGUUUGCUCAUUUUGAUUUCUGCUCCCAUUACACAGAGGUUGCAAGAAGAUUUGAAGACUAACAAGGAUGCUUAUCCCUUUGAUGAGGUACGUUAUAAUUGUUUUAGUCCUUUUCGUAUGCUCACACUUGUUUCUUAUGAAUGAAGCUUACAAGAUUCUUCCCUUUUGGCAGAUAAUCUACUGUAAUAUCGGGAAUCCUCAAUCUCUUGGUCAACAGCCUAUAACAUUCUUCAGAGAGGUAAAUACGUGAGCUUUUAUAGUACUGGUUUGUUCCAUAUGUUAUUCUUGACUCAUGAGUUAACUUGUAACAUUUAUGUCUCAGGUUCUUGCUUUAUGUUCCCACACUGCCCUGUUGGACGAGAGUGCAACACACGGUUUGUUCAGGUACCAAAAGUGGUUUAUAUGUUUUAUUACCUCACUAUGUAAUUCAGCUUCUUAGUUGUUUUGAUUCUGUGGUGUAAGAUUGUUUAAACAUUGAACUUUACAAAUUUUAUCAGCUCUGAUUCAAUUGAACGUGCUUGGAAGAUUCUGGACCAAAUUCCCGGGAAAGCGACUGGUGCUUACAGCCACAGCCAGGUUUGUGGCAUUGUGAAUCUUGACAGCAUCUCUCUCUCAAUGAUGAUUCCCUCUCUUAAUCUUCUGUUCUGCCUCAGGGUAUCAAGGGGUUACGUGAUGCAAUUGCUGCUGGAAUCGAAGCCCGUGAUGGUUUCCCUGCUGAUCCUAAUGAUAUAUUCAUGACAGAUGGUGCAAGCCCAGGGGUAACGAUUAUCAAACUAAUCUUAUCUUAACUCGUAGAAUUUGGAACACCUUGUUGUGAAGGUGACAGUGAUGUUCCUCUCCUUCUAGGUUCAUAUGAUGAUGCAACUUCUCAUAACUUCAGAGAAAGAUGGAAUCCUUUGCCCUAUUCCUCAGUACCCAUUGUACUCAGCUUCAAUUGCCCUUCACGGUGGAACUUUGGUAUGUUCGUUAUCUUUGUUUCUGAUGAUGAUAUCAUUUUGAUGCAUGACUAUGUCGACUGGAAAAAUGAAUCUGCUUCCGAGUUUCUUUGUCUUUGUUCUGAUUUGCCGUCAUCUUCUUCUCGUAGGUUCCGUACUACCUUGAUGAAGCAUCAGGAUGGGGUCUUGAAAUAUCUGAGCUGAAGAAGCAACUUGAAGAUGCUAGGUCAAAGGGGAUCACUGUGAGAGCUUUGGCAGUCAUUAACCCUGGAAACCCGACAGGGCAGGUAAAUGAAUCUUCAAGACUAAAACUCACAAAUUUAUACCGAUGCGAAUUUCACAGUUUCGUCUAAAUUUGACCUCUGCUUUGUUCUGGUAAAAGGUUCUUGCGGAAGAAAACCAGCGUGACAUUGUUGAUUUCUGCAAGCAAGAGGGUUUAGUUCUUUUAGCAGACGAGGUUUAUCAAGAAAAUGUGUAUGUCCCUGACAAAAAGUUCCAUUCCUUCAAGAAAGUAGCCCGCUCUAUGGGCUACGGUGAGAAGGAUCUUGCCUUAGUCUCUUUCCAAUCAGUCUCCAAAGGUUUUACAAAAACCCAAAUCUCUUAGUCAAUUGAUAAUUCUGAUCAUUGCAAUGGGAAAUUAGUCACAAAACAGGAUUAACUAUUUUUGACAGGGUACUAUGGAGAGUGUGGGAAAAGAGGUGGCUACAUGGAGGUUACUGGAUUCACUUCUGAUGUAAGAGAGCAGAUAUACAAAAUGGCUUCUGUGAAUCUUUGUUCCAACAUCUCUGGUCAAAUUCUUGCUAGCCUCAUCAUGAGCCCACCCAAGGUACAAAACAUCUAAUGUGACUUUCGCAUUACAAUUAAUUCAGUUUCCACCAGGUGGCUUGGACUUGCACACCGAUAAUUGACCUUAACAUUUUUUUUAUGAAAUUUGAUCAGCCUGGUGACGACUCCUACGAAUCAUACAUAGCAGAGAAGGAUGGAAUUCUCUCAUCUUUAGCAAGACGUGCGAAGGUUAGCCAUCUAAUAGAGAAAUAGGAAUAUUCAAGAUUAGAACUUUUUGUUCCUAAUACGAUUGAACUCUUCUAACCUUGCAGACUCUUGAAGAGGCACUGAACAAGCUAGAGGGUGUUACAUGCAAUAGAGCGGAAGGAGCUAUGUAUCUAUUCCCCUGCCUUCACCUUCCACAAAAGGCGAUUGCAGCUGCAGAGGCGGAAAAGACAGCACCAGACAAUUUCUACUGCAAACGCCUUCUAAAAGCUACUGGAAUAGUCGUAGUCCCUGGUUCUGGCUUUAGACAGGUUUGAAAAAAGAAAAAGCUUUUUCUCCAAAGAACCAAACUAAAAUCUCAGUUGCUAAUAUUGAUCCUGUGUCUUUUUUUCGGUUUGAUGUAGGUACCUGGAACAUGGCAUUUCAGGUGCACUAUACUUCCCCAAGAGGAUAAGAUUCCAGCGAUUGUUGAUCGUCUAACUGCGUUCCACAAGAGCUUCAUGGACGAGUUCCGCGACUAAACAUUGUGUUUUCAAGAUCUCUCUAUAUAGAUAUGAGUAAUAAUGUCCCAUGCCGUUUCUUUUUCAUCGACUUUGUGUUUACAGAAGCUAAGAUGUGAGAGCAUUAGUUAGUGCUCUCUUUCUUAUUCACCUUUUGUUCUGCUCUUUUUAUAGUGAAAACCCAUACAUUAUAUAAAUUGAGAGAGUUUUUUAUAAACGGUUGGUCAAAAUGUUUAAAUGUUAUCUUAACAAGAAAUCACAAGAUUAAAUCACUGUUGAACUUCAAGUUCAAAGUUUCGAUUUUUUAGAAUCAUUUUCGUUUCUCUUCGUUUAAAAUAAUGUACGGAUAAAUAACUGCAUAAGAUUGCAGAAAAAAAGAUGUGAUUAGAGACGAAACAGCUGUUACCUGCAUUUCUUUUUUUCUGAAAUCGGACUUACGCUAGCUAAAAAUGUAGACAGUAAUCACGUUCUCUCUAUUCACAUGGCCACCAUCUCUUAAAUUUCAAAGCAUGCCUCACAUGAGGUAGGUAAUGUGUACAGUACAAAUGAUAAUGUAUCGUCGAUUGAAUGUAGAUGCUGGAGAAUAUCAUCAUCAGUAAAUGAUUAAGAAUAAGAUAAGAAUAUCACCAUAUGAUCAAAGAGCUGCAGACAAAGUAAGAGUACGUGAUUAGAUCCCAAUAACUAUGUGUUCAAACACACAAAUCUUAGUCUAUAAAGCAACACGUUUUAAAAGUCUCUAGUUAUCUAACUCACGUCUCUAUCCAAGAUUGUCUCAGUUACAGUCACAAGAACAAGUUACGAGCUUUCAAGACUCUUAACGGAUUUACAAGAAGAGAACUCACAAUGAAGAGAUACUGUUCAGCGGCUUUGGUUCUGUUACUUGUAGCUUUCUUUAGCAGCAAGCAUAGUGUAGAGGGCCGUUCUCUGUUAACACAAUCCGGUCAAGCCGUGAGAGAUUUGCAUAUAAGCAAGGAGAUGAAGAAAGAGCCACUUAGAGGAGAAAAAGAUAGCUUCAGAAGAAUCCCAAGUACUGGCUCAAACCCUGUUCCUAAUUCUUCGGAUAUGUCUGCUUCUCAGUCCUCUUCCUCUCUCACCGUAACUCUUGACUCCAUCAAUACCAAGGUGGUGUUUGUUUUCUAUAUCUGAAUCUAACUCUAGUGACUCAUGAUGUCUUGAACCUUUUGUUUAAUAAUAUGGUUUUUUUUUUUUUUUUUGUUUUGGGGGAUCUUCAGGUUUCUUAAAUCUGGUCAGUAUGCUGUCCGUGGGGAAAUUGUCAACAUUGGUCAGUGAUGAGACUGCAUGUGUUGAGGGAGCUGAGGUGGACAGACGGUCAAACGUGAAAGAGAAAAACCCUAUUGCAAGUUUUAUGGAUUAAGCUAAGAGUACUUAUAUACUCUAUGGUUUUAAUUUAGUUUUUAUUCUGUUUCAAUAAGAGUGGCUGGUUUUCCUUUCCCAUUUGUUCUUAAUUGUAAGAAUCGCUUGUUUCCUUCGUUAUUUGCUUCUUCUUGUACUCUUAUAUAAAAUGAGAAAAUGCAGUUUCAAAAUACUUAUAUGUUCUAUAUGGUACAUGUGCAGGUCAAAUCUUAAAAAAAUAAAAAAUGGAAGCUGGUUUAACUGAUAGAAUACUUUUCUACAUGAUGUAAUAUGUAUGGUUCAAAGAUUAAGAAUCCAAACAACUUAAUUCCAAAGUAUGAGAGGUAUACAAGAUAUAUGAAACAAUCUGAAUAGCAUAAAAUCAUAUAAUAAAACUAAAUCAAAUAUUUUAGAAAUUCAUUAGAGGAAUACUUCACGAGUGGACUAAUCAAUCACCGUUUUGAUCACCUACACGGCAUCGAGUAAUCCCAUCAGUCAGAUUUUCCAAGUUUUGCAUAUCCAUCGGUGGUUUCCAACCCAUCACAUUGAUUGGCCAUGCCGGAACCAUCUCAACAGUCCGAUCGUUACCCAUCGCAACGAUCUUUUUCCCUAUAUUUUCUCUCAACAUACUCAAUGCUGCCAUGUACUCUUCAAGCUCCUCUUCUGGCACACUCUCCACCGGACGCUCCCACCACGGUCUCCUACUUUCCUCAUCCGCCACGUUAUCACCGGAAUAUCCCUCCAACUUCACCGGACUCUUACGAAGAUACUUGUCUAUCAAUGCGUCUACAUGGCCAAAUCUGUAGAUCCUACCGCAUUUAGAGAACGUUAUGACAGCGAUUUUGGCGCCCGUGAGAACGCUCAAUUCAGCAGAUUUCUUGAACAGCCCACGACGGCGUUUCGAGAACGUUACUUGUCUCUUGGUCUCUUCCUCGAUUAUCUUGAUCUCUAUCUUCUGUCUUCCUCGUGUCGUUUUAGGGGUUUGUGUUGUUUCCUUUUUUGGUUGACUAACCAACAUGUUAGGGCUUUGAAGUGGAUCCUUGGGCGUCAAGCAAGUCAUCGUUGAAGUUUCUCUUUCUUCUUCCAUGACCACCAAGCGAGAGGGAGGAGAGAUGGAAAUAUCAUUAGGUUUUUUCUUGGUCGUGGGAUUUAUAGUCGUUCAUGAUUAUGUAAUAAUAAAGGAAAUUGUCUUACUUUUCUUCAUUUAUGGAAAUUUGGUAUUAAAUGCAAUUCCAAUUAAUUAAUAUUUUUCGGAAUGAUUCCAUGAAUCAAAGAUAGACUUUCGUAAAAAUGUAAGACAUGUGUUGUCUUAUACAAAAUUUAUAGAAAUAUAUAAAUCCGAGAUACUACUUUCCAUUUUACUCGUUUGUUGAAGAAUCGAUUGUGAUACAUAUUAUAUUUACAUAAUAUAUACAUUGUCGACCUAAAUAUACGUGAAUCGCGUUUACCAUCACAUACACGUACAAACGUAGCAUGUAGAGCAUUAUGCCAUGCAGAGCCGUGACUACCUCUUUAGAAAAAGGACAAGUGCCCUAGGCCACAGUUUGUGUAAUAAAUUUAAGAGGCCACAUUAAUCAUAAUCUUCUUAGGUUUUGAUCAUAUUGUCACUCUAAAAGUCAUUUUAUCAAGGUUCUAUUCCAAUAUUUGUAACAUUUAUCAUUCUUUCUUUCUUGUUUGGUUGUUGUCUUAGUCGUCUCCUAUAUCUUUUAGGAUUUUGUUUUUGUUUAUUUAGAAUAUAUAAUCAACUAUGUAACAUAAUUAAAGAAAAUUUUGCCAAAGGCCACUAAGCUCGUAAGCACGGCACUGAUGCCAUGCCAGACAGAAGAAAAACAUAUGACGUCGUCUUGCUUACAUUAACAUUUAAGAAUUCCAAAUAUCACGGUAAAAUGUCGAAAUGACAAAUUGAUCAAAUAUUCAAAUUAAUUAUCUCAUUUGGGGCCAAGAAGUGAUUUGAUGAUAUCUUUAUUGAUUGAUUACAAGUGAUCCUAAUCCAAAUAAUGAUUAAUGGAAAAUUUUACAUUUUGCUUUAGCAAAAAACAAGAAAAUUUUACAUUUUUGAAGAUAUUUAGUCCAAAUGAAUAUUGCCAAUUAUCUUAACUUGGUUUAAUAGUUUGAGAGCCAUUCAAGAUGUAUAGGUAAUUCAACAGUUUCAGAACCAUUCAAUUUGUUCAGAAAGCUGAAGAGCAAUUUGGAUUUGCUUUCGUAGUUUUGAAAUUAAGAAUUUGGUUCCUUCAGUUUUUUUAACUGUGAUGACCGUCUCGUUCUAAGACUAACAUACCCAUUUUAUUUGGCCAUAUUCUUUUUUUUUUAGUCUCAAUUUUUUUUAUUGAUAAUUUGAAUCCAAUGUAUACAAAGCCAACAAGAAUCGAAAUUCUUUUCGAAAUAUAAAGAUGGCGAGUACAUAAACACUCCCAUUAACAAAAUCUCAUGCCGUAAAAAAAAAAAUCCCAUAAAAAAGAAACAAGCUAGUGAAUAAAACUUUGAAAACGAAAUAAAGUGGUUAAUAAGUUUGUCAAUGUAUGUGGAAGAUUCUAUUUAAAUUUUUGUUUCUUAAUAUGUUAAGGGUAAAAAAGUAAAAUCAGUAAAUUUUUCUUUCGCCGAAUACUUUUUUGACUCCGGUGGUCAACGUCGAGCCGAGACGGCAAACUUGAAUCAGUUUUAGAAGAGAGCUUCGACGCUGCAAUUGAAAAAUCAAAAUCUCUCCGACCUCCGAAACUGAGCAGUUGAAAGAGAGAAAAAUGGCGGCGAAGACGAUGAGGAAGGCGGAGGAGCUGGUGGAGAAGGCGAUGAAAGGAAACGAUGCUUCUCAUGAUGACUGGCACGUGUGGAGGGUCCGAGACCUUGCUCUCUCCAUUGCUCGCGAGGAAGGUCUCUCUUCCAGCUCCGACUCCAUGGAAAUUGUGAGUUUGAAAAGUCCCUAAAUCCCACAGAACCCUUAAUUGCUCUUCGUUAUCUAUAUCACAGAUUCACAGUGCUAGUUCAACUGAGCCUGAAGAAUCUUCUCCUAGUUAGUUCUUGUAGUGAUACUAGAAUGUGAGAUGUUUUUUUGUCAAAUUUCAAUUUUUGCAGGUGGAACUUGCAGCUCUUCUUCAUGAUAUAGGUAUUUCGUUUGAUUUAUUUUCUAUUAAAGUCAUGUGUUUAUUAUAGUCCACAGUUUGAUCAUAGUAUGUAUCUCUUGCCCUCUCUCUUAUCAGGUGACUACAAGUACCUAAGGUUUGUUUCUCUUAAGUUUUCUUUUCUUUUGAACCGCUUGAGUAGACUAAUGUCCCUUCCAACCAUUCUUGAUCAUACUUCCACGAAAUAAAAAGUGUUUACUUUGCCCCUGAAACUCUCUACGUUCCCUGUUUUUAACUUUGUUUUAACUAAACUGGAUGAACAAAGACACUUAGAACUUGCAAGUGUAUAUAUGGUCUACUCGUAAUUCGGGAGCCUAGGCACUAGAUUCCAUCUGUUUGCAAAUCCUAUAUUGGAUGUCAUUAGGUGAUUUGCUCACCUUAUGAUUAGUUAGGCUCUACUAGGUGGAACUUUGUGUGGAUAUAAAAAUAAAAACUACUCAACUAUGAAUGCUGAAGACUGCUUUUCUUCCGCUGAUAUGUUGCUUCAUGGCAAAAAUAUGUUAUAACCGGAAUUCAGAGACCCUUCGGAAGAGAAACUUGUUGAGACUUUCCUAGAUGAGGAGGGUAUCGAAGAGACCAAGAAGACCAAGAUACUAACGAUCAUCAAUGGAAUGGGUUAGUUUCCAGCUCCUACUUUUUACUCAACAUAUCCAGUGUGCAUGAGUUUUCACUACAAUUAAGUAAGAUUUUGUAAAAAACGCACUCUGUUGUAUAUCAAUUUGUCAACAGAACAAGUGUACUUUUCCAGGUUUUAAAGACGAAUUAGCAGGAUUAGCACUCUGCGAAUCUCUUCCAGAAUUUGGGAUAGUUCAAGAUGCUGAUCGCCUUGAUGCAAUUGGCGCCAUAGGUACAAAUACUUCUCUUUUCUUUAGUUCUCUUCUCAACAGUUUACCUGCUUUGAUGUCAUCUGGAGAUUCUCUAUGUUAGGGAAUUUGUGCUAUUAGUUGUUGUUGAUCUCUUUCCGUUAUAGGGAUUGCUCGUUGCUUUACAUUUGGUGGAAGCAGGAACAGAGUGCUCCAUGAUCCUGAGAUCAAGCCCCGGACAGAGCUAACCAAAGAGCAGUACAUUAAGAAAGAGGAGCAAACUACAAUUAAUCACUUCCAUGAGAAACUCCUCAAGCUAAAGAAGCUGAUGAAAACUGAGGUAAGUUUAACCGCAACUCUAUUAGACGCGGAAAAUUUGUUUCGAUUUGAAUGUGGGAUUGGAAAAUAUCAGGCGGGUAGAAGGAGGGCAGAGAAAAGGCACAAGUUCAUGGAAGAGUAUCUUAAGGAGUUCUAUGAAGAGUGGGAGGGGUCGACUUGAAAAGUUAAGAAUGAUGCAUGAAGAAGGAAAGCUGAGGUUGUGUUCAACCGGGUUUAAUUGUAAGAUGUACCUACCAAACCAAUAUGUGGUUUAGGUUUAAAACAGAGUGGCAACUCUAUUUAAAUACCUCGUGAUUGUUAUAAUAAUUACUUUAUUUUAUGGUGUAUAUAAAUAUAUUUAAUGGAGAAAGAAUUUAUACCCGCAGAAGGAUCGGGAUACUGAAAAUAAAGAGAUGAGAGGAGGAGAGAGAGUUCUUAUAACUUCUUAUUGUUGAAGUAUGAAUUGUGAUUUUACAUCGAACGAAUUCGUUCGUUUAUAUAGGCGUAAAAAAGUAAAUUACUAUGCGUGCAUAGUGACGGUGGGCUCCACAUAAAUUAAUAAAUAACGAAACGUUUAACCCAUGUGCGCAUCUUUUGCGACUUUACGAUUCCUCCUUUUCACGACUUUUAUAACACUCCCCCUUGGAGACCAGUGUCACUAUGUCUCUUGCGUAAUGUCUUCUGUUGCCUCGUUAAAAACCUUUCUAGGAAAACCCGGUGCCAAUGAUUGUGGAAGAAAUCAAGCAAGGUUUACAUGUUUAGAGCCGGUCUUUUUCUUAAAAUUUUUUUUUUUUUUUACGCCAAAGUCAGUUGUUGUCUUUUUCGUGAAAGGUUUUAUAAAGUUAGUGGGUUUUUUUUUUGUCAACUGGUUUAAAUAUUGACUUUCUAUUUUCCGUUUUUCAGUCUUCUUUAAAAUUUAUUAGUGGAAGAUGAUAAGAUGUCUUCUCGAUGUUUAAGUGGAUUAAGUCAUUUGCGAGGCUAUCAUCGGUCGGCCAUAAUAUAACAUUUACAUGGUUUGAAUUUGUAUAUUUUUAUACCAAACUGACGUGAUUUCAAAACGUAUUGACGAAAACUUUGUAUUAGUGACAUUUGUUUUCCCUAGAAUUUUGUAGUUUUCUUUCAAUAUCAAAUAAUAUUUGGAAAGUGAGUUUACUUCGUACACAAGGAAUUUCUGUUGAAUUUAAUGAAAAAUAUAUAUAUAAUGCAACGAAUGGGAUUGGUCACGUUUAAUCAAGUCGUUUGGUUUGUAUAAUAUUAAAAAGGAAUAAUUAAUCGCGUUUAUACUUCUAUUACCAUUCUACAUAACACAUGUCUAACAGCCAGAGGACUAGUGAUUCAAAGCAUCGAACUGGUCGGCCAUUACGUGUUCAAUUUGUGUUUUAAUAAAAAGAAAUUAGAGUUAAUAAAGAAAAUUGUGUUUAAAUUAAAAGAUGAACACAAUUCUUUCGAUGUAAGGUUGGAGUGCCUUUAAGCGUGCGAUCUUCUCAUUCUCACUGAGAUGCGUGUGCAUACCGGUAUGUGGUCAUUUCUGCAUGGCAUAAUCUUUUUUUUUUACAUGGCAUAAUCUUUUUUUCCCCAGAUUAACAUACCUUAGAACGGAAAGUGAAAUAUGUUGGUACAGCAAAAAUUGCCCUAAGGUUUAAUAGUAAUUCUGGCAUUUCCUUUCCCUAAAAAUGAUUAAUUAGCCAUAUCUGUAUUUACGAAGAAAGGAUAAAUGUCGAUAUUGAUUUAAGAAUUAGUCGUAUCUUAUCGGAAUUCUGAAGCUGGAUCAAAAUUAACUAAUAUAUAAAAACAGAGAGAAUAUCAUCAUCGUGUUAUUUAUACAGCUCCUAAGAAAAAAAAUCAUCAUCGUGAAUUAUAUUAUAUGGAUUUAAUGUGGACCCAAUCUCUCCCUCCAUGUGUUUAACGUUCAUCUCUACGAGACUACGACAUUCCAUCGUAAGAAAAAAGAAAAGAAAAAAAAAAAAAAAGGCACGAGUCGAUUAACUAAGAUACCAUUUUAUUACGGGUGAAUUAAAUCUUUAUACACGGUUGACCAAAAAAUUAGAUUUCAGGACAUGAUAAUUUCAAAAUUAAGUAAUUAUGAAAGAUAAAGAAACUAUAAACCAAAUAUAUCCUUCUUCUUUUCUUUUGAUUAAUUACAAAAAUGCCAUUGAAUUAAAAAUUGUUUUACUAUUUCAGUUUUUCAUCGAUACUGUUCACUCUUACGUCAAUAAUACUGUUCAUUCCGAAGUUGAUGAUACUGUUCAUCUUAAGAUAGUGUAAAACAUUCUGUGAUUUGUGUGGAUAACUAUUUUAUUACCUGAUAAAUAAUAUAGUGUCGUGAUAAGUUCACUAUUACGUGUUAUAUGCAUAGUUAUCGUGUUAAACUAGUUAUUAUAUCUAACAAUAUACUGUAAAUUAUUAAUUUAAAAUUAUCAAUUAAUGCUUUUUUAAAAUUUCUCUUAAAUAAUUAAUAUGAUAUAAAAUAUCAUAAAUAUAUUACAUAUAAUGAUAACGAUAACAGUAGUAUUAACGCGGUAAAAUAAAUUGUAUAUCGAUAAAUUAAUAUUUAGUACAAUACAAUAUAUAUAUAUAACCAUGCUAUAUAAAAUAUUAACGAGAUACAAAAUUUAAUAAAACGAUAAAAUUUUGUGUAACGAGUUUUAUGUGUUUGAAACAUGAUAAUAUAUUAAUAAACAAAUAAAAACAUAUAGAUACAAAAAUGAUAAUCAAAAUUGCUGGGUUCCAAUGCUUCAAUUAAGAACCGACCCACAAAAUUAGUCAAAUUUCAUCAAAAUUAAUUAAAAUAGUUGGAUCGAGAUACUAAAAUGAAGUGGAACGAGACCUACGAUUCACAGAGAUGUUACGUGACGGUGUUUGCCACACGGUUCCAGUUAUGGAAUAUUCCGAUGAAGGGUUAUCGAGAUAUAUACGGAAGUCGUCGGAGCUCGGUGCUCCCAUCACAUGAGUCCUCCACUUCUUCUUAGCCGGGGAUGAUGAAGAAGAUCGUUGUUGUUUGCUCCAACAAUCUCGUCGUUUUAUCACCGACAUUGAUGUUCAAUAUUGAAGGAGAUGAAGUUAAGAAAUAAAAUAAAGUAAAAAGUAAUUCUUAUAAAAAGAAAAGGGGUAUAGAGUAAAUUCAUGUACCCAAACACUGUAGAAAAAGUUGUCAGAACUCUCACUUAAUUUGUCAUUCUUCUGUGGUUACCGCCUGUAGAUUCCCUUUUACUUACUAAUUUUACUAUAUAUAUAGUUUUAUCCGGUCAAAUACUGUAUAGUCUUAACUAAAAUAAAUAUUUGCAGAAUUUAGAAAAUUAAAUCAGAAAGUGACACACAGAAAAGAAAAACAAGGAAAUUGCCUUUUCUGGAAUCUAAAAAGAUUUGACAAUUCUUUAGCAAAAACAGAAAAAAUAUAUAUAUAUAUAUAUAUAUAUAUAUUUGACAAUUAGAAAAGGUGAAAAGGUAAGAGCCUUUUGUAACGUAACGAGGUACUUCAAAACGACCGCGUAUAAUAAAGUCUAUAAAUAAAAGGGAAAUUAGCGCCCAAAAGGUUAACAAAAUAAAAGCAGAAGCUCAAUUUUACCAUAUUAACAUAACAACAGGUCUCCGACUUGGUCACAUCCUUGGACGGCUCCACUCCUCUCUAUCAUCUUCCCCGAAUCGUCUUCGUCGUUGUUAUCUCCAUCUCCAGAAUUCGGAAAUUUUCUGCGAUUAUCGAUUUUGAUCUCUAUUUCCUCACGCUCUUAUUUUCUCUGUCUGCUCGGCUGUUUCUCUGUAUCGACUGAUUCAGGGAAAAUCGGGGUCAAACCGGCUCUGAGCUAUCCCUUCAGGUUCGAAAUUUACAGAUUUUUUUCUGGUCUGAUGGGAUCAGAGCCUCGGUUCGAACCGAGGCCCGAACUGAUUGACCUACCCGUUCUUCAGAAAUUCAAGCUCUACGCUACUCCCUCGGUAACAAAAUCUCCUCCUCUUUCUCUUUAACUUUGUCCGAUUAUUGAUCUGUGAUUAUGUGAAUCUUAUUCUUCUUAUUUGUCUCUUUUUAAUUAAUGUUUAUUUGCAUCAAUGUGAAUCUUUUUUUCCGGCAACUGAUUUACCGGUAAUUGCGUUGAUACUGUUUACGGUUUAUGGAUUUUGAUUUUGUUUGACAUUCUUGCUUAAUAAUUCCGGUUUUGGAUUCGAGUUCUCUAAGAUAGUUUGGUUUAUUAUUCGAUGAGCCUGUUUGCUUGGCGGUUUCAUAUGGUUGUAGUGUAAGCCAUGAAUGAGAGAGCCUUUAGCUUGACAUAAUGUAGAGUCUUUGGUUCUAAGUUUUCUAUAGUUUAGCCUGAUUCUUCAUGAAUUCUAGUGGAAAUUUUUGAUUUUUCUCAUGUGAAAGCACUACAUUUUGACUUUGAAGUUGUUGAAUGAAUUGGUUGUUGUGCAGAAUUUUUAUUUGAUUGGAAGAGAUGAGAACAAAAGCUUUAGGAGGAUUCUUAAGAUUGAUCGAAGGGACCAAAACGAGUUAAAUUUGUUUGAAGAUCCUACAAGGUAUACAAAAGACGAAAUGCGCGAACUGAAAAGGCGGAUGAUUAUAGGGAAUGAGGAGUCUGGUGGGUUUAAAGCAAUCACAACUUGUUAUGGAAUCAUUGGUUAAGUCUUUUUACUACCACUGUUCGUUGUCCUUUCCCAUUGUUUUUGUAACGUUGUGAACUCAUGGAGCAAUGCUGAUUCUUCUGGUGCAGGGUUUGUGAGAUUCUUGGAGCCUUAUUAUAUGCUGGUGAUAACAAAAAGAAAGAAAGUGGGUGAGAUCUGCGGCCAUACAGUUUAUGGUAUAGCAGAGAGUCAAAUGAUCGCGAUUCCACAUCCUUCCAUUCAGACAAAAGUGGCUAAGUCUGAAGCCGAGCAAAGGUAUUUUAUCGAUAUGAAUAACUCUCUUGUGUAAACUUUAGUGGAACACAUUAUCCGGAAUGUAUUCCCUCUUGUGUAAACUCUCUUGUGUAAACUUUCUAUUAUAGGUACAAGAAGCUCUUAAGCGUGGUGGAUCUUAGCAAAAACUUCUACUUCAGCUACACAUAUCACCUCGUGUAUUGCCUUCAGAAGAACAUAGGCAACACUGAGAGAGGAAACGCUCAUGACAACACAAUGUUUGUGUGGAACUCCUUCUUAACACGCGAGAUCAGAAAGAUCCUGCAGAAUUCCAUAUGGACAGUUGCAUUGGUAUACGGAUUCUUUCAACAGGUAAUAAUCAAAUGCAUGCCUAUGUGAAUGGUUUAGACUGGAGAUUUUUCAAAAUUUUGGUAAUCUAAAGUCUAUUGAUCCUUUGCUUUGUCUAGACUAAAUGUUCAGUAUCUGGUGAGGAUUUUGUCUUCACUAUCAUUGCUCGGCGUUCACGGCAUUAUGCCGGUACAAGGUACUUCUUCAUUUUGAAAGCUUUAUUUGCUAUGUUUUUCUUCUUCUUUGUGUUUUUUUUCUUUAUUUUGUCUCACGCCCUACUUGAUCUCUAACAUAAUUGUAAUAUUGGACUUACGCAUUACCCAAAUUGGAAUACUCAUGAAAGAUAGGGGCUAGUCUUGAUAUGCCUUUGAGCUUAACUCCUUCUUGUUAAUGUGCAGAUAUUUAAGGCGUGGUGUAAAUGAUAUAGGCAGAGUAGCCAAUGAUGUUGAGACGGAGCAGAUUGUUUCCAAAGUGGUUCCUGCGGGUCAGAAAAUCCCGAUAACAUCAGUUGUGCAGAUUCGAGGCUCCAUACCCCUAUUUUGGUCACAGGAGGCAUCUGUUUUCAACCCACAGCCCGAGAUUAUAUGUAAGCACCAUAUGAAUUUGCAAAAAGGAUCCUUUCUUAUCUUGUCUUAAUACUCUUGUUUUUGUCUUUUUGGGUCACAGUGAAUAAGAAGGACGCAAAUUAUGUGGCUACCCAACACCACUUUGAGAAUCUGAGACAGAGGUAUGGGAACCGGAUAAUAAUUCUGAACCUCCUAAAGGUAGGAUCUCUCAUACAUAUUCUAGGAAACUCAAAUUUCAGUCAUUGCUUCUGCCCGUUCUUGGAUUAUUGAAAGAUUGAGUGUAUCGUUGCUAUUUUGUGUUAUCAGACUGAGACAGGUGAGAAAAAGCAUCGAGAAACCAGCUUAAGGGCAGAGUUUGCAAAGACAAUCCGCUUUAUUAACAAAGGCAUGGACAAGGAGAAUCGUUUAAAGGCAAUCCAUUUUGAUCUAAGCAAACACUACAAAAAGUACUGCAUUUAUGCACCUAUUACUGAUUUGUAAUUAAGUCUAAUAUCCUAGAAUUGCUAACCAUUUUUCCUUCAAUUUGGCAGAGGAGCUGAUGGUGCAUUCAACCACUUGUGUAUCUUUGCAAGGAAAGCAUUGGAAUUAACUGACCUGUUUUACUGUAAAGCUCCUUCAGGUGUAGGAGCUGAAGGAGUAAUUUAUGAUUCAUUUUUCAAGUAAGUUUGCCAGUUUGGUAUGCUAUGUCUAGUGAAAAUACAGUCUUCGUGUAACAGUUGCUGUAUGUUUACUGCAUGUCUCUCGAAUACACAAUUUUUAUUGUAUUGCACAUUUCUUACCAAGUCCUAAUAUUAAUGCUACCAUGCCUCAGUAACCCUAUUCCAAGUCAAGAUGAAGAGGCGAGUAGUCCAGAUAAAGAAGCUUUGAAGGCGGAUAUAUUUAUGCUUCAAAAUGGGGUCUUGAGGACAAACUGCAUAGACUGUCUGGAUCGCACCAAUUUUGCGCAGUACGCCCACGGAUUGGUAGCUCUUGGGCAUCAGCUGCGUACAUUGGGUAUCUCAGGACCUCCUGUCGUCGAUCUUAAUAAUCCUCUGGCAAUAGAACUGAUGGACGCUUACCAAAAGAUGGGUAAUACACUUGCGCUGCAGUAUGGUGGCUCGGAAGCACACAGCAAGGUGAAUUGAUUACCAACACAUUUUUCCGUACUAGACUUUUGAUGGAUCUUUGAACUAUGUGUAUCAACUUUAGAAAGUUUAUGGUUUACAGAUGUUCUGUGAUCUGAGAGGUAACUGGAACAUGGUGAUGAGGCAGCGUGAUAUCUUCACAGCUGUACGUCGUUACUACAGUAACGCGUAUCAGGACAGUGAUAAGCAGAACGCCAUCAAUGUGUAAGCUCCGUUUUAGAAACUUUUUGUCUCGUUUUUUCGUCUUUACGUUUGCUUCGUGUUCGUUUAGUGUAAAUAUUAUUUCUGUUGACAGGUUCUUAGGGCAUUUCCGGCCUCGAUUGGGGAAGCCAGCACUAUGGGAGUUGGAUUCUGACCAGCACAACAUCGGAAGAUCUGGUUCUAACUUGGAUAUUGAAAAUAUGAGGUACUACUUUUGUUGAAAAACUGGCUAAACCAGAAAUUAGUCUAAAUUAAGUGACAUGUAACUGCAAAUGACUAAUAUAUCGUCCAAUACACGAAUUGCAGGCCACUAAUUAGAAGAUCAUUUUCCGAUAAUAUUCUUAUGGAUUGUGAUUUGAAUCUGGAGGAGCUGGUACGCGAAAAUUCUCAGCCUUCAUAUGAAGGGUUAAACGGGGGUGUCUCAGGAACCAAUUUAGAGUUUCCGUUCUAUGAAACUGAACCAGCUUCUCUAAGGUAUGAAUCAGUCUCUUUAACUUGUUGCAAGUAUUCAUUAAAUACUUUUUCUGACUUUCAUCCUCUUUCUUUGAUCACAUGCAUCUUCAGCUUCCUCUCGGUUAUGCGCAAUGAAGAUCUUCGCAGAGAAACAGGGACAGGGCAGAUGUUUGAAGGCAGUUCCUCUAAUUCUGAUUCCCACACGCCCAAUGAUAUACCUGGUUUUGCACACUCAUAUGCAACUAAAUUCACUCCGGCUGAAGAAAUAUUUGAACGUUGCAGGUAAAAACAUUCAUCCAUAUGCAUCAUUGCUAUAGCAUCCUGAUACAUUUACGAUAUUCAGACAUGAAACUUCCUUCUAAGUAAGCCUUAUAAUAAUUUUAUAAAUGUUUCUUGCAGCUCAAAGUCUGUUUCGUCAGAUAACUUGUUCACCGACCUGGAUGAAUCCGUCACUUCUUUAACUAAUACGAACUCCAGUUUUGACGUAAAUCUCCUUCAUCUACAUAUCAUUCUUAUUCAAGUUAACGAUUUAUCUUCUAAGCUUUCGCAAACAAAGACACUGACUCGUUCGGAUAUUCCCAUUAUUUACAGUUUCCUAUAAUGGGUGGUUCCGAUUUGCUACCUGGUUUCUCAAAUGCUUUCGCUCGGUGGGUAUUCUCCGCAAGAGCAUGGUAAAAGAGGGUUUGGAGAAGGAAAGGAGCCUCGCACGGGAAGGUAACGGUGGUUACUUGGCAGGUACGGCAGGGUUGAACAGUGUCAAAAUAACAGGAAAGUACAGAAUAACAGCCACAUCUUGUAAAUAUCCGACUCACCUUUGUAAAGGUCAAGGUUUCUUGUUUUUUUUUUGUUCCUGUUCUUAGCAAAAAUGGAUUUCUUUCUUGUUCUUAUGUUUGAUUUUGUUUUUAUGUUUUUGCUAUAUAGAGGGUUUGGUUUGUUUGUUUGUUUUCCAUUUUUUCAUAAUUUAUCACGGCCAAUUCAUGAACCGCAAUUAACUGUGUUAUUAGACUUUGGAACCUAUUGUGUUAAAAAGUUACCAAAACAUAUCAUCUUGAUAAAAUUAUUACCAUUAAACGGAAGAGGCCUGCUUCUCGAGACUGGCCCAAAACACUUUAUAUCCUUUAGACGACAGGAGCCUUUGUAGUGAGGUGGUUAUACCACACCUUAGGCUAUCUUGUCACGUCGUGUGAGGUGGUUCAGCAAGACAGCAACACACCUUCCUCCUUUACAGAGUACUUAAAAAUGUGGGCAAAAGAAAAAGUGUAACAUUUUUAGAUGAUAUGUUUCAAACUCUUUUUAAAAAGUUCAUUAAAUAAAAUCUUUUAACUGGCUGAUUAAACCAGGAAAAAGUUGUGACGCACUCUUGGAGAACAAGAAGAUCCCAACUGGCUAAUUUGCUCUUGCAACUAACUUAUUUGUUCAGAAUAUUUUAUUUAAUUCUUCUCAUUAAGUAUUUUGAUUUUGUUGGCUGUUGGCUGGCAAUUGUUUGCCCACCAAAACCAAAAGCUGUCGGAUAUUUCUGAGAUUAAUAAAAAAAAACAGUUCUUUUCUUCACUGUUUAAAUUCAAUUCGAUGAGGUUGGAUUUAACUAAACAAUAAACGUUCAACCAAUAGAGUUGGUAUGUUAUACACUACAUUGUUUACGAGAACCAGGGGUUCUGUCUACAGUUCAGAAUAUACCAAACGAGUUCUUGAUUACACAAUUAUAGCAUUACUAGGCCUGGGCAUAAUACCCGAACCCGAAGAACCGAACCGAACCCGACCCGAAAAACCCGAUCUGAAUCCGAACCCGAAGUUUUAAAAUACCCGAACGGGUUUUAAACUUCACAAUCCGAAAAUCCGAACCCGAACCCGAACAAGUACCCGAACAUACCCAAAUAUAAGUAUAUAGUUAUAAUAUAUUAGUAAUAUUUAUACUUGUAAUAACCUAAGUGCCUAAAUUAUUCUGAUGUUAAGAUAUUUCUGGAUGUUUUAACUACUUUGGGUUACAUUCGGGUAUAAAAUACUUGAGUUUUAUAGAUUUUUUGAGUAUUUUUCAAUACUUUGCAUAGAAUCGGAUACAAAAUUUCUAAUAUUUGGAUACUUCGGGUAAACGCGAAUCCGAACCCGAAAUACCCGAUCUGAACCCGACCCGAACCCGAAGUUUUAAAAUACCCGAACGGGUCUUAGUUUUCUAAACCCGAACCCGAAAAACCCGAUCCGAACCCGACCCGAAUAUCCGAACGCCCAGGCCUAAGCAUUACAAUGUCAACAUUUAUAUAUUAGUAUUUUUUUAAGUAUUAUAUUUUCGAAGAAAUAUAUUAGUGGAGUACAUUGAACCGAUCACAGAGUCAAAUGCACAUAAGCAGGAUAUUGUUUGCGUUUGAUAAACAGAUUUAUAUCGGAUUCUUUUUUUCAAUAAAUCAUCACAAUGAUUACUACUACUAAUUAAUCAGCAUUAAUCACCAUCACUAAGGUAUUUAACUAAUGGUCUCGGCGAUUAUUUUGUUGUUUGAUUUCUCUUAGGCUAAACUAUUGAUAGAAAAAAAGUUUGGAUCAUUUUAUAAAGGUUUUCUAAACUUUAACUUUAAUUAUUAGCUGACCGUCGACAAUGUGCAGUUCGAUAAGGACACAUAUGCUAAGGUUUUCUUAUGCCAAAUAAAAUAUAUUUUGUUUUAUGAUUUCAAUUGUUGAAUUUGUUUUUUAUUCAAGAAAGUACAAAUACGUAUAAUUAAAUGGGCCGCUUGUGUUCAAAAAAUAAAUAUAUAAUAAUAACUAAAAAGUAUUAAUUUUUGUAUGUAAUAACUAAAAAGCUAAAUUACUAUAUACCCUAUUACUUCGGCCAAAACUGUAAUUGUAAGCGCGACACUAAAUAUAAUGGAGAUCUUAUCUCAAACAUGAUGUAAUCUUUAUCUAACACCCUUGCUUGGUCCGAUUCAUUGCACAACAAUACACAAGAGAAGAUUGUCCACAUACACACGUAGGGACAUAUAUCAACAUGCAUCCACAUACCUAUAUAUAAUAUACAAUAUAGAUUUAUUAAAUUAAAAUACAGAGCAAGGAGACACCAGUUUUACGGAUUCUGUAGCCUCCUUUUAUCUUUCUUAGCUGUUCUCUUUCUCUCCUUGUCCCUCAAUAUAAAUACAAACGAACCCAAUACUUCCUUCUUACGUACCAAGAAAGUUAGUUUCUCAAUUCUUGAUUAAACAUACACAAAACAAUAACCUUAAUUUCAAGAAACUACUAUUGUUAAAAAUCAGAGAUUUUCCCUAGCUAAUGGCUAUAUUCGGGAAACUGACAAAGCUCAAAUCAGCCAUAAAGAAAUGGCCUUCCUUGACCAAGAACCACCAUUCAACCACCGUGUCUACAGCCUCUACAGCCGCAUCCGAUGUCUCAAAGUGCGGAGAUCUCCAUGUGGUUUACGUCGGAAAGUCACGAAGACCUUACAUGCUUAGUUCCCACGUCAUCGCUCAUCCGCUUUUCCAAGAACUACUUGAUCGGUCUUUGAGAUUCGCCGUUGAACAUCACGAUCAAGAGACAGUCUUAGUAGCUUGUGAAGUCGUAUUGUUCGAGCACUUGUUAUGGAUGCUCAAGAACAGUUCCUCUGAUCACGGCGAUGACGAAGAUGAUGAUGAUCGCGAAAGAGGAUCCGUCGAGGAGUUGGCUGAGUUCUAUACUUAUUGACGGCGCGAUACAUAUUCUUAUAAUAUAUACUUUAUUUCGUUAAUUUUGGAAUUGAUUCGACAUGAUCAAAUGCGGUCAUGCACAAACCAUUUCCUUUGCUUUUGUUCAAAUUUUUAGAAUUAGUACUCUUUAACUAAUAGUAUAAUUAUGUCGGACGAAAGAGGGUAGUGAUCUUUGCCUAAUGAUGAUAAAUCGUAACAAUGCUAAAAUUUAUCUUUUAUUGAUUUUGCUCCAUUUUUAUGUACAUGUAUUCUUCAGUACGUAGUUAUUUAUAUAUAUAUAUGCAUGUUAUGAGAUUUUCGAAAGAAUAAAAUUCGCCGCCACGUGAUGAUGCGCAGGGCUACCCAAUUGCACGGACGGUCCUACUUGCCCUUCUAGUGGCAGCAAGCUAGCUGUCAUGGAAGUAUAUUAUAAAAUUACUAACUACGUCUAUAAGUAAGUGUAUCCAAGUUGUAAUGUAUUGAGAUCAUGGUUUGAUACCGGUUAUCUGCGGUUUAAUAGGGUUUAUCAGUCUUGGUUUAAUGUCAUUGGUUUAUUGUAUAUAUAAGCUUAAGCACACAUUUAAUAUUCAAUUAGAUUGUAACAAACAUUCAGGAUGAUUGAAUAAGAUUCUGUUAAACCUCUCCGAUCUUUCUUUUCUUCCGUUUCACCGGAGUUUCACCGGAGUUAAUAUGAUAUCAGAGCUACUCUUUUGAGCUUCCGCAUUCUUCAUCGGAGAUGAAUUUUCACCAUGAUGUUAUAAUACACCCCCCCUCAAGUAUGUAUGAUGCAUGUAUGAUGGUUUGGUUCAUCAAAUCAGGUAUGAUGGUUAAAAUGAGUUUCACCGGAGUUAAUAUAAUGUUAAGUGUAAUUAGGUAGAAACUUCUUGGACUAAUUAAUUAAACAUGACUACGAUGUAUAUAGGCUGAUGCUCCUUAAUUAUUUAUGUAAUUCUUUAUAUAUGUCACGCUAUGUAGGUAAGUGCAGGGCCGGCCCGCAGGACAGGCCACCCAAGCCACCGCUUGGGGCACCACAAUUUUUUUUUUUUUUUUUAAGUUUUUUUUUUUUUUUUGGUAAAAAGGCCCAUAAAAUGAAAAUAUUUGGUAGAAACUAAAGUCUUUUUCGAAAAAAAUAAAUAAAAUAGGGCCCAAACAAUUAAAUUUGAAUGUAAUAAUAUUCAAAAUAUCAUUAUUUUUGUAUAAUUUACUAAAAAUAGGUCAAAAAAAAAAUUUAGCCCUAAAACUUAUAAAUAUAUUGGGCCUCAUUUUAUUUUUCGUGUAGGGCCUCACAAAUGCUCGGACCGGCACUGGGUAAGUGAUAUCCUUGCACUGAAUAUAAUAUUUUCAUAGUCGUACGCCUACAAUGAAUUCUGUAAUUUAAACGUUGAAAACAAAUAUUCGUGUUAAUUGAAAUUUCUUCAUUUACUUUUUUGACUAUUUUUCAUGGUUAGUUUUACGAAUUUUUUGACACUUUGUGGAUGUAUUUUGUUUUUCAAAGAAGUGUUUUACUAUUGGGCAAUGUAUUGGAGAACUUGAGCCAAAAUAGGCCCAUAUUAUAAGAUUGGUCUCACAAAACGACAUCGUGUAGUAGAAACGGCAACGUGCAGCUUGAUGGUCUUCAGGCUGUUGACUGUUAAUCGGUAAACCGAGGCUGAUUGUGCGACGGUCGCGACGGUGACGGCAAAUCCAGUGAGUGAGCUCUUUUCAUCUUCGUUGCAUUUAGUGGAUUCCCUAAAACUUUAGAUAAUUUUGGUUUGUUCUUAGCAUUGGGCUUGUUCUAAUUAUCAGAUCUUCUUGUUUUGAGUUUUUUUUUUUUUUUUUUUUUUUUUUCUCUGUGCAUUUCGGAGCAGAAGACGAAUUGUAAUGUCAAAAAUUUUUACCAGCGUCUGUGAUAAGAGUCGGGUUUUUCUCAAGGAUUUGGUGACAAGCUGUUUUUUAUGGCCGUCUGCAAUUGUGAUUACCUUAUCGAUUUUUUAGCUUACAAGGUGUUUGUUGAAAUGCUUCAACGGGAAAUUUUCUUAGUCCCCACCCUCAGUGGUUUCUGUUUAUAAUGCGUCAACUUCUGAUAUAGCUAAACUUUCAAAGACAUUACCUUUUAUACAUUUCUGGGGUGUGGUUCUGAUCAUUGAGGUUUUGUGUGUGUGAUUUGGUGAUUAACAUUGAAAAUUGGAGCUUUAAUUCCUAACAGUCAUUGUUUUAUAUCUUUUUUCUUAGUUUUCAUCUGGGAAAGCAGCUACAGAAGACAUGUCGAGGUUUCGAUCGUUGUUGCAAGCCUCAGUAAAUGCCACAAAGAAGGGUAUUCACCUGCCACUUCUCCGUCAAUUAUGAUUUCCUUUUAUUCAUAUGUGCUUGUGCUUUUACUUAUUAGAUAGUGACGGAUGUUUGAUGAAAAAAUGACGUUGGUUCUAUGUUGCAAUACUCGCACAUUUUUUGGAUUACAGUUUUAUUUCUCUAGUAGCCUUUAUGCUUUGGAAUAUAGUAGCUAGUGUCUGACUUAUCUUCACCAUUCUACAAACUGGUAGCUCUUACAUGGAACGUUGAAGAAUGGGUACCACCUGCAGAGAAGCAUAUAUUUAAGUUCAACUCGAAAGAAGACUUAAAGAAAUGGCAUCUCUAUUCCGAUUCUGAAUAUGGAGGUACUUAAGCAGUCAGGUUCAAGUCCGUUCAACCAUCUGCUCUGUAAAGAGUAUCUGAUAUUGUUUCUGUUGUUAUUGUCCCUUUCAUUUCCAUGCCUCGGUGACCCAUAUGAACAACUACCGAGACAAAUUAAGAUUUCUGAAGAUCGGCAUUGCACAGAUUUUCAUUGAUUUGUAAACAAUAUGCUAUGCAUUUUAAUAUUUAUCUAAUGGCAACAUGUUUGAUACUUAUUUUACAGGAUUAUCUUCGGCUUCCUUGGAAAUCCCAGAUAAAGGAGAUGGAUCAGAUUGCACUGGUUAGCAACUUAGUAAUUUCUUCUGUGAUCUAUCAUCUGCCCUCCAGCAUGUCUUGUUGUCAUGAAGUUCAUCAAUAAAACAAUAUGAGAUUUCUUCUGUGUCAUCAUUUCUUAAUUUCUCGUUGUGUUUCUACACUACUCCACUUAGUGAUGUUUUCCACCCAAAUAUCUUUUAUAGGAAUUUUCUCGGGGAACCUAUCUUUGGACCUCAGCGAAGGAUCAAAAUGGAACAUCAGUCGAAGUGGUUUCUGUGGAAUGCGCUCAAAGAAGGUUAACAACAGAGAGCUUUCAUUUUUCCUACAAAACAUUCUUAUUCAAAACAUAUUUUCUGCAUGUCAGUCUUUGUUUGAAGAAAAGAAGAAAAAUGGGUUACUAUAUCUUCGUCCUGGUUUUGUAAACGAGAUGUUUUGUGUCAGCUUACUAUUGCAACUAAUUCUACCAUCCUCUGCUUUUGCAGUUUGAUGGCUUCAUUGAUCUCGAUGGGUAUGAUGCAAUAGCCCUGAGGCUCAGAGGAGAUGGAAGAUGUUAUAUCUCUACAGUAAGUUUUAUGUUGAUACUGACUUUACCCUAACUGCAGUUGAAACAACAUAUGUUCUAGGAGCAAAAGGGUUGUUAUACUAAACCUUGAUUUUGAUUCAGAUCUAUACCGAAAACUGGGUGAAUUCACCGGGACAGUCAGAAGAUAACUCGUGGCAAGCUUUUGUUUUUGCUCCAAAGGACAGUUGGUAUACUGCUAAGGCAAGUCCUACUACUUCUAUAGAUGUUACCAACAAAGAGCUUUAGAGCAUUUUUUUACACAUCCUUUUUAUGUUUUUUUAAAAAAUUCUUUAGAUAAAACCUCCAUCUGUAGAUGAAACCCUAACCAAAAAGACAGAUCGCGAUUAUGAGUUGACUUGAAUGUUUCACUUCUAGUCUAAGGCGUAUUAAUAACCUGAGGUUGAAUGUAUCAGAUUCCUCUAGCUAGAUACUUGCCAACAUGGAGAGGAAAUGUUAUAGAUGUGGAAAUGGAGAUGAAUCCAGGUCGUGUUCUGGGUAUGUCACUGUCGGUAAAUGCAGAAGGUGGUGCGGUUGGAGCUAAAUCAGGAGCAGGUGAUUUCCGAGUAGAAAUUGACUGGAUCAAAGCCUUGAGAUUGCCAUAAAUGUUGAACAAUAUAGCAAUGUAUGAUGUUUUUUUUUGUUGUUCUUGGUUUUAGCUUGUAAAAACCAGGCCUGAGUUGAUGAUACUUGAUGGCCAAAAGAUUGUUGCAUUGUCUUGCGGCAAAGUUGGUUUUCAUAUUGAGCCAUGUUUUUACCAUGUGAUAAAAUAAAAAAAAUCAACAUAAUCAAAAGGUAUUCUUAACCUUGUGUUUUUCAGCCUCUCCUUAUUGGUCAACUAGUUUGUUAUAUAGUUAACAAUGUAAUGGUCGUGCUUGAAUAUGUGAGAGUACGGUAGUACUAAAUCGGUGGAGCGAAUACGUUAAUAAAAUUGUACAACCUGUUUCCAUUAUGAACUUACAAAAAUAAAAUGCAAAUUGAAUUUAACAAGGAUAUUAGUGACUUAUUAGCUUAUUUGUUGAAAUAAUAACUAAAACUAUCAAAAUGCUCUAUUUGUACAAUUUAUAGUGUAAAGAAGUUUAUGUUUUACAUAGGUUAGUUACCUUCACUUGAACCCAAAUGGCCCUAUAAUACUCUCUGUGCUCUCUUCUCUUUGAUCUCUUUGAGUCCAACCAAACUAAAAGUUUAGAUAGAGAGAGACACACGUGUAGUCACCGACUCGUCAGAUGGUGGGACAGCUGUUUUUUCUUACUGUCCAAUCUGCACCGUUGGAUCUACUCAUUGCGUUUAUUUUUGCCUUUUUGUUCUGUACAUAGUCGCUUGAUGAUGCGGUUGUUUCAGUGGAUAGCUGGACCCAUUAAACCACCUCUGCUUUAGUUGGUGGGUUCCAUGGUGAAGAAAAAAAAAAGCUGCAAACUUUUGCUUUGUUUGGUACAUCUAAACCAAUCUAAUUUCCUCUUCCGAUUUGUCUCGGUUCGAAUCUGGAUUGAUGGCUUUACAGAGUGUGUAGAGUAAAAUCGGAUAAUUCAUUUCAUUUUCAAGGGAAAAUAUUUCAUGCAUUUGAGAACCAUCCUGUUCUCAUGUGGAUUAGUGUUGGUUUAUAUACUAACCGGUUUGCCCAUUUUAAAUAUGUAUAAUAAGUAUAUAGCUAAUCAAUUAAGUUUGAUUUUGAUCAAUCAAUCAUUCGUCAAAGUUAUAAAAUUUUUUUUUAAUAUAUUACUAUUAAUGUUAAGCAUGAAGGAAGAUUAAUAAAGAGAGAUUAAUAAUUGACGAAAAGACACAUGGGACAAAAGGAAGAAAUGAAAGAGAAUGAGAAGAACAUGUCGCAUGUGCUUAAGUUUACGUCAUACCGACAAUCUAGAAGCAUCUUCUUCAUCACUAAUAAGGUCUCUUUUGUUGUAGGAAAUAAAUAGAUUUUAUUUUUCAAAUUACCAUUUUUUUUCUUUCUUAAUUAGUUGCUUCAAGCUACUUUUAAUAAGGGGUUAAAUGUAGGGUUUGGCCAUUUGUGGCUUUUAGACUUUUGUUACAUUUGAUUUGAUUAAUGUUGAUGUAGUAUAUUUAUUUGAAAACAUAGACACUAAUUUGGGCAAUGAAAACGAUAUUUAGAUAUAUCUUUGAUAAUGUGAAGAACAGGGGUAGCUUGAGUUAUGAUUAUAAACGCAAGACGCUUCUUCACUCAGCAGCACUAAGCUUGCCUCCAAACCAAUCCCAGAUCUGAAUCUAAACCUCUCAAAAUCUCUUCUCAUCAUCAUGGCUUCUUCUUCUAACUACGAUGGAAUCCUUCUCGGAAUGGGUAACCCACUCCUCGAUAUCUCUGCCGUCGUCGACGACGAAUUUCUCACCAAAUACGACAUCAAGUUGAACAAUGCGAUUCUCGCUGAGGACAAACAUUUGCCCAUGUAUGAUGAGAUGAGUAGCAAGUUCAAUGUUGAAUACAUUGCCGGAGGUGCUACUCAGAACUCAAUCAAAGUGGCUCAGUGGAUGCUUCAAAUUCCUGGGGCAACCAGUUACAUGGGAUCCAUUGGAAAGGACAAAUAUGGAGAGGCCAUGAAGAAGGAUGCUACAGCAGCUGGUGUCAAUGUUCACUAUUAUGAAGAUGAGUCGGCACCUACUGGAACUUGCGGUGUCUGUGUUGUUGGUGGAGAAAGGUCUCUUAUUGCGAAUCUUUCAGCUGCAAACUGCUACAAGGUUGAUCACCUUAAGAAGCCUGAAAACUGGGCAUUGGUUGAGAAGGCCAAGUUCUAUUACAUUGCUGGAUUCUUCCUCACAGUAUCGCCUGAAUCCAUUCAGUUGGUAUCUGAGCAUGCUGCUGCAAACAACAAGGUGUUCACAAUGAACCUUUCUGCUCCAUUCAUUUGUGAAUUCUUCAAAGAUGUGCAGGAGAAGUUCUUGCCAUACAUGGACUUCGUUUUCGGCAAUGAAACAGAAGCAAGAACCUUCUCCAGGGUUCACGGCUGGGAGACUGAAGAUGUCGAACAAAUAGCCAUCAAGAUUUCACAGCUUCCCAAGGCCACGGGAACAUACAAGAGGACCACUGUGAUAACACAGGGCGCAGAUCCAGUGGUUGUUGCUGAAGAUGGAAAGGUGAAGAAAUAUCCAGUCAUCCCUCUCCCAAAAGAGAAGCUGGUUGACACCAACGGUGCAGGUGAUGCAUUUGUGGGAGGAUUCAUGUCACAGUUGGUGAAAGAGAAAUCGAUUGAGGAAUGCGUGAAAGCUGGAUGCUAUGCGUCGAACGUGGUGAUCCAAAGAUCUGGCUGCACUUACCCUGAGAAGCCCGACUUUAACUAAACUAUUGGGUCAUCCUCAGCUUUGUGAUAUCUUCCAAAUAAAACAACCUUCGAUUCAACAAACUCCCACGAUUAUUGCUUGAGUGUACUUUUUACCAUUUUUUUACCAAAAUUUUUUGUUAAAAAAAAAAAAAAAAAAAAAAAAAAAAAAAAAAAAAAAAAAAAACAGGGGUAGCUUUUUUUUUUCUUUUUGUUAAAAAGUGAAGAAUAGUAUUACGCGUUCACAUUACGUGUUUUGUUAAUAAUUAUUCCAUAAAGAUUCAUAUCAGAUAUUAGAAAAUUAUAUGCACAUUACUGUACGAUUUCUAGAAAUUAUUUUAUUAUUAGAACUCAUUUUCUUAUGGUAAAAAAGAAGACUUUAUAUUCUUACAUAUGCGAUCGUUAGAUAAAUAUUUAAGAUCUUUUACAUGUUGUCAUGUUGAUGAGACAAUGGAUUUUUUUCUGAAAAUUUUCCAUACAUUGAAAAAGAAACAUCGCAAAGAAGUGGAUAAAAUUAAAAACUACGAAAUUUUGGACUCAUUUAUCUUCUACAAGGAUUGCCAUACAAACAAAAGAAAAUAUAUUCUUAAAUUUGAUCAGAAGAAACAAAAAAAAAAAAAAAUAAUAUGAGGUUGACAAAAUUAAACAAAAAUAAAUAAAUAUAAAUGCGACUUUCGAUUCGUUGUCUCUCUCUCAAACGUAUUAAUAAUAAGUUUGUUUCCCAAAAAAAAUAGUAUGACCGUUAAAAAUCGAUCAUUGGAUGUUUCCAUGUUUGGUCCACAUAGUAGAGCCUUGACCACAUCUCUCCAACUGAGUUUUGGUUAUUACAAGAUUGGCCCCAUAAACCACUUCCUAUACCAAAAUUAUGAAAUUAAUUAACCAGAUACGUUGAGAGUAAUUCCACUGGCCAAUCCAAAGUCCAAACUACUAAUAGUCUAAUACAAUCGAAUAUCUCUAGCAGGUUUGAUGUAGAUAAGCUGUAUACUUAAACAUAUGUGGAGACAAAUGGUCCAAACCGGGUUUUAUUGUUAUUGAUUAAUCCGGUUUACUCGGAGGGUAAUUUGGUAAACUAAAAAUUGGGUGGUAUCUUCGUCUUGACUACUACUACUCUGCGUCAUUUCGUAUUUUUCCCAUUACAGACUGUUAUGUUACGCCAAGGGAAAAAGAAAAGGUGAAAGGUGUCCCAAGCAAGCUCUCUCUCUCUCUCUCUUUCUCCACACGUUAUAUAUCCUACAGUAUUCUUACACAAAGAGACUGUGUGUUUCAGGGCUUGGAAAUAGAGAGAAAGAGAAAGAGCAAAGAGAGAUAAAGCAAACGUCUUCUUCCAUUUGGUAGAAUAAAAAAGAUUGCAUUUUUCAGCAAAACUUCCAUUUGGUAGAAUAACAAGUAUUCAGACACUGUUAAGGCUUCUUGUGCUUUUUUUCUUCUUCUCUUCAACACCCAUAUCUGAGGAUCAGAACUCAAGUUUACUAAACUUUGGAUAGUAACCGGAAGAAAUCGAAUUCUGUUUCAAUGCUGGAUCGGUUAUGUCGUAAGUUCCUCGACUUUUUUUUUUGUAUUAGCUCAAGUUUCUUGCUUUUGAUUAGAUGGAUUUUUUUGCCUGCUUUUUAGUAUCAGAAUUUUGGGAAUUCUGUUUUCUGGGAUGUGUAAAGUUGGGAUUUUUGGAAUUUGUCUUUUGGGUUUUAGUGUUGGGGUCAGAUCCGUUUCAAUUUUUGUGGUUAUUGGAGCUGCGUUACUUUUAUCUUGAAUUGUGGUUAUUGUUACAUUUAAUUUACUCAAUUUUACUCUUUUGUGGUUUCCUCAGAUUUCAUUUGAUUAUCUUAUGAAUGAUUCACAUUUUGGUCUAAGAAAGAGGCUUUGACUUGUGUCAUAAACAUGAAGCCUGAUACUGUUCUUGACUAUGCUGUGUUUGAGCUUUCCCCAAAACAUUCGCGGUUAGUAAAUCUUUUUCUCUUAGGGAAAUGUUCUUUCUCGACAUUGAUCAUGCUUUGUAGUUUUGACCUCAGUUUAAUAUAUAUAUAUAUAUAUAUAUAUAUAUAUAUAUAUAUAUAUAUAUAUGUGUGUUACAGAUGUGAACUGUUUGUAUGGAUUCAUGAAGAAAGAGAGAAACUAGCUUCAGGAUUAAUAGAACCAUUUGUGAAUCAUUUGAGAGUUCUUCAAUCACAAGCUUCGCAGAGAGACCAAUGCUCUGUUAGACUCCAAGUAGAACAAAGCGAAAAUGGCGAAUCUUGGUUCACAAGAAGAACAUUCGAGAGGUCUCAAAGAACAUUUUGUUUUCUUACUUUUACACAAAUAUUUUCGUUAGCUUAACAAUCUUUGACCUUUUCUUAUUGUUCUUUUCCAGAUUUGUUCAAUAUGUUAAUAGUCCUCAAGUUUUGGAAAGAGUCGUUACAUUUGAUUUGGAAAUGUCACAGUUGGAAGCAGCUCGGACAUUAUAUUCUCAAGGUGUCUUUCAUUUUUCAUUAGCUUGAUCAUAUUCAUAGCUUUACAAGUGAACAAACGUGAUACUAUUUUUUCUCUUUCUCCUUUUCUGUUUCAGACGAUGGAGGCGUAGCAGAUGCAACAAAGUAAGUUAAUAUUUCUGUUUUUACAUUGAAUCAAAUUGUGUGUUUAAAACUGUUUUGUUGAUUGCUUUUCUUUGUAUAUGUACAGGAAGGAGCUUGUAAGAGCUAUAGAUUUAAGACUCGAGGCAAUCAAAAAGGACUUAACCAAGGCGAGUGCUCACGCGUCAGCUAAUGGUUUUGACUCUCAAACUGUUUCUGAUCUCCAACAUUUUGCUGAUAGAUUCGGCGCACAUCAUUUGGAGUAAGCUAUUUUUUUUUCUUGGUGUUUCAUUUUCUUUGUAACUAUGUUUUGAAUCUGACCAGAAUACAUAUCUUUUAUCAGUGAAGCAUGCAGCAAAUAUAUUUCACUAUCGCAAAGAAGACCAGACCUGAUGACCAAGAACCUGAAUACCAAUGCACAAACAUCACUCAGUGAAACAAACAUAUGUCAACAUCAAGAUACUAAGAGCACUAACACUGAUGAAGAGGAGAAAAAAGAAGAGAGUAUGGAAGAAUCUUCGACGGUUAAGACCAUUCAUCAUACAAGGAGACUUAGCGUACAAGAUAGGAUUAACCUCUUUGAGAGCAAACAGAAGGAAAACUCAAACUCUGCAGGAAAUAAACCGGUAGUUGUUGCGAAAUCCACAGAAUUGAAGAGACUUUCCUCUGAUGUCUCAUCAACUGCUCCUGCACUCCCUGAGAAGUCUGUUUUGAGAAGGUGGAGUAUUGUUAGUGACAUGAGCUUUGAUUUUACAAUGGAUAACAAGAAGUCUGAUAGCGGUAGCAACGAAGAAGGUCCCUUGAGUACACCUUCGUCCAUUCCUGAUGCCACAUUCCCCAAGGAGUCUGAAGAGAACAGCAAAAAGGACGAUGAUGAUGAGUAUUCUACUAAAUCUGAUGAUUCUCAAAACCAGACUGAUAAGCCGGGGAAUGUCAUGUCUGAUGACGAUUCCAGACAGAGAGAAGAGGAGAGCUAUGCUUCCAAAUCCCACAAUGUGGCACAAUCAUCAAUCAUGUUUCCUUAUCGCCAUUCCCGUUCUCGUUCAGCUCAUAUAGCAGGUGGUAUAGAUAUCAAAAGUGAUGAACGUCAAUCAAAAGGCAGGAAGAAAGAGCUGUUUCCAUCAGACAAGAAACAAGCCUUGACAAGCUCUCCAAAACCAGUUUCUGCAGGUUAGUUUUAGCAGAAUAGUUAAAAGAAUAUAUAGAGAAAUUUCUCCAAGAGAGUUUUAAAUUUACAAGAUCUUGAAAAUCAUAUGAAAGUCAAGGUUUUGAAUACUUAAAACUGAUAGCUUUUAACUGUACAUCUUAAUGAUUCUGCAGGGUCUGAACAGAGACAAAAAUCAUUUGGUGUAGAGGAUGAUCUUCAGGAUAGUCUUGUGAAUGCAGAGUCAGGUGGGAAAAAUGACAAUAACAGAGUUCGUGCGACAUCUGUGGAUCAAACACAAAGGACAAGAAUGUCUAGAGAAAGCCCUCCAGGGUUUAAUGAUGAGUUGACAAUGGAAGCAAAAGAUCUUGAAAAGAUUUUCGCCGAGCAUCAACUACGGAUUCUUCCAGGGGAUCAAUCAGCUGGUGACGAUAAAGACAACAGGAAUGUUGUAAUGCGCCGGAAUAUAUCUGAGUUAAGAUUUUCAGAUGAUUCUAAAGGAAAGUUGUAUGAAGAGUAUAUUAAGAAGAGGGAUGCAAAACUAAGAGAAGAAUGGAGUUCAAAAGAAACAAAGUUGAAGUCAAUGCAAGAAGCUCUUGACCGAAGUAGAACCGAGAUGAAGGCUAAGUUUUCUGCUGCUUCCAUGAAGAGGCAGGAUUCGAUAUCAAGUACCCGCCAACGUGCAGAGAAAUUCAGAUCUUUUAAUUCUCGGACAAGUUCAAAAAAGUCUCAGGUAAUCAAAUCAUUUAGUUUCUUUGAUGAUGAUGACAACAAACUUUUGUCUAAUUAUUUUGCAAUUUGAUUUAGUGAUUCUUCUUAAUCUUUUACAGCAUCCUAUAAGUUCAUUACAGAGUGAAGAAGAAAACGAAAAAGAUAAGCCAGUCAGUGGACAAUCCAUUGGAAAAAGUGCUUCUAGGAGCUCCCAAAAUAGAAAGGUUCCAUCACCAAAUCCGAGCUCCCGAGUCUCGAAACCAUCAGGUAAAGUUUCAAACGCAAACAUUAAUAGUUGCGGGAGAGGACGAAAAACAUCAGAGAUAAAACUGGUUACACAAUCUUCUCUCCCCAAGUUCUCUGAUCUUAAAAAGGAAAACACAAAACCAUCUUCUUUAGCUGGUAGAAAUACUACUACCAUGAUGCGAACACAGGUGGGAAAUGGUAAUAAGAAGAAUACAAAGGAAGAUUUACCGUCUCCUGUUAUGCCGCGAAGACCACGAUCACUAAGGAAAAGCUUCUCUGCAAAUAUAGAAUUCACAGAGUUGACAACUCUGUAUGCUGAUGAUAUGAACAAAGAGAGGAAUCAGAAGCAGAACACAGACAUUGAUGAUGUACCAGAGAAUUUGGAAAAUGAAGAAUUUGAUCACAUUGAAUCCGAGGCUGAAGAAGAAGAGAAAGAAGUUUUGGAGAAUACUGUCAAAGAUGAAGAAGAAGAUAGAGAAAUGGAAACUCUAGUAGUUGAGGAUAUUGGUGAUGAAACCCCUUCACUUACUGAAAUAGUUGAGAACUCAUCAGAGGAUGGAAAUUACACUUCUUUGAGAUCAGUUUCUCAUGUAGACUUACCGGUGAAUACUCUACCUUCUUCAACAUUGCAGCAUAAUUUUGCCUCGUUAUUGGAUUCACCUAGUGAGAGUCCUCUUUCAUGGAGCUCAAACUUGCAACACGCGUUCUCUUAUCCGCACGAGCACUCGGAUGUUGAUGCUUCAGUGGAUGAUUCUCCUAUGGGAAGUCCAGCUUCUUGGAGUUCAAGAAUGAGAAAGAAAUGGGGAACAACAGCUCAGAGUCCUGUUAUUGUUCCCAACUCUCGAAAGGAUUUAACGAAAGGCAUCAAACGUUUUCUUAAGUUUGGGAAGAAAACUCGUGCUGCGGAUAGUCUAAUGGAUUGGGUUUCUGUAACAACAUCUGAAGGAGACGAUGAUUUUGCUUAUCGAUCAUCGGAUGAGUUAAGAAAAUCAAGAAUGGCAUCUUCUCAGAGUCAGCUUUAUGAGGAUGAACAAGGUAUAAAAUCUUUACAUUUCAGCUUCAUUUAGGUCUUAGAACAAUGUCAUGAAAUUUCUCUGAUCAUGGCUGUCUUUUGUGUUUCAAAGCUUCAAACAACUCGAUUCAUGCACAUCAUCAUCAAGCAAGCUUUAAAGUGAAAGAUGGUGAUUUUAAGCGAUCAUUCUUCUCACUUUCUACAUUCCGCAGCAAAGGAAACGACUCGAAGCCAAGAUAACAGAGCUCAAGUCUUUAUGUUUUCAUUACAACUGCACAAGUACAAAGUUUGUAGUGUUGAAGGAGAAGUAAAAACUUGUUGAUUUUAUAAUAUGAAAUGAGAUAAAACAUAAUUUUGAGAGGUAAAAACUUCAAUUGAAAGAUACAUAUCAAGUACAUGAAAUCUAGAAGGUUCACAAAUAACGUAAAGUCACUGAUCAGUUCACAAUUAAUGGUUCCAAAUAAGUAAGAUAUACGAACUCGUUCGUGACCCACUAAAUAAGAUUUAAGUUAAAUCAAAGUAAGGAAAGAGAAAGUGCAAAAACGUAAACCGUAGUUAACAAAAGAAAAAGCGUGGAACACAAAUCACAAACCCACAGCUACAUGAUAACAUUAUAACAAGAACAUCAGUUAAAAGAAAAGCAAAAGAUACAAUAAAGACGUUACAUAACAACAAAAAAGAAGAAAGAACUCUUCUCUCAAAUACGGCUCCAAGGAAGAUCUCACUGGUAGUACAUGAGCUGCUGCGCGUUCUGGAAACCACCGUCAUAUAUUGCCUGGUUUGAGCCAGUGGCUCCCAUUGCAGCUUGUUUAAGAGCAUGUUGUCCCUGCGGGUGAUGCAUCAGCGGAUUCAUUCCUGCCAUCUUGCUCAUCGCUAGUUGCCUCUCGUAAGCCAAGAGAUCGCUGGCUGAGAAUCCCGGGAUCGGUGCAGGAGCUGGUGGAGGAAGUGGGUUUGAAGCUGUUCCUGGUGGAGUUGGCUUGCUUCCCCAAGAACACUGUGGGAACAACAAACACGAGAUUUUUAGCAUUCCCGAACCAAAAAAAUGGUUUAAGUUAGUUAGUUUUACCUUCAUUUGCCUGCCACUGAGGUAGGAAUGUGUAUUUCCCAUCGAAAUAGCAAGGGCUGCCUCUACAUGAGUAGAGUAUCUCACAAAUCCGAAACCUUUGUCUCUUUGAACACGGACUUCCUCAAUGACCCCAGCACCGAGGGAAUGAAAGUGGCGGUGAAGAUCAACCUGGGACACCUGGAUACCCGAACGAAAAUAUCUUUGUUUUUAGUAAGGUAUGGAUGUGGUAAGUCACACAAUAUCUAUAACACAAUGUUUUUUUCUAUUUUACCUCUGGAGCAAGAUUACCGACGUAAACAGUCGUGUACUGAGCAUUGUUCUCAGGAGCUUCACCAUUAGUAGUAUCUUUACCAUCCUCUGCAGGAACAAAUACGCCAAUGUAUAAACAUCAAAGGGUAAAAUUAAGAGCAUUUGAGGCUUUCUCUGUUUCCAUUUGAUUUUCUAUUUUAUGAAAGGUAAUAGUUAAAACAUACCCGAGACACCACUGGUAAGUUCCACGACACUUUUGGAAUCAGAGCUCUGUUUGUCCUCACCAGAAGUGGCUCCUUUUGUCGCCCAGUUGCAGCGUAUCUGCCUGGAACCAAGCCAUUUCCCUGAAAGCAGAAGAGAAUACUCACACCAGUUACAAUAAGCCAAAAAAAAGCUAAAUAACAAUUAAAAUCAACUAUCAAGGGCAAAACAAAUUGCAACACUCACCAGUUAUUUCAUCUAUUGCAGUCUGGGCAUCCUGCACAAGGAAAUAAGAAUUGCAGCAAUCGAUAAGUGAUCAAGGUAAAAGCCAAUCUAUACACAAGGACUGAGAGUUAGGCAGUCAAGUACCUGCUGGUUACGGAACGAAACAAAUCCAAAUCCUCUUGAACGCCCAGUUUUCUGAUCCCACAUAACUCUUGCAUCCCUACAUACAACAGCAAUUGUCAGAAGAGUCUGUGCAAAUCUUAAACUUCCAUUUUCAAUACAAGAAUGCUCAGGAUGGCAUAAGCGUUGUGCAACUGAAAAACUUACGAGCAACUCGGGUAGACAGAGAAGCAAUUAAACAGCAUUGCAUCAGUAACCUCCGGACUCAAAUCCCCAACAAAUAUAUUGAAGUGACCUGCACAUGAAGAUCACAGAAGUGCGUUAUUGUACCAAUAAAACACCCAAAAUACUGGCUUACCAAGAAAAUCAAGCAUAAGAGUAUGAACCAACUUGAGGUAUCCUCCCUCUGGCCACUAGCAUAAGCCCAGUUAACCUUGAUAGGUUGCCCAAACCUGCACAUUAGAGUAACCAAUGAAUGUAAUCCAAACCUUAAAAAACAGAGUAUCUUGUUCAUGCUAAAUUUACCAACGGCUAAUAAUCAAGUCCAUUAACUUACAAAUGCCUUCCAUUGAGAGAAAGGAUUGCAAGACCAGCCGAUCUUCGAUCAAAGUAGUGGACAAACCCAUAAGAAGACUGCCCGUUUUGAAAUCAAAACAUCAGGAAAAUGUGUCAGUCAUAGCCAAUACAAAAAGCAAAAGUUUCUACAUAACAGAUAUAACAUCCAGAAGAUUAUUACUAGAAUGUUAUAACAGUGUAACAUAACACUAACCUUUUCUUUCCUAAUUAGUUUACAGCUUUCUACAGGACCAGUGCUAGCAAAAACCUCUUGAAGCAGAGGUUCCGUCACCUGAAUAUGGAUGUUUCCCACGUACCUGCAACUUCUCAAAGUUAAACAGACAAAAAAUCUAAACAAGAACCAGAACAAAGAAACAAAAACAGAAAACAGCAUGUCUACAAGUCCCUUCAACUUCAAGGAGUAUCACCAAUGAGGGCAUAAUAACAAAGGAACACCUUUUCCACAAAAUAGAAACAAGACUUUAGAGAAACGUUGUCAAAUACCAACACUUGUGACAAACUUAUUCAAUUGCGCAAUUAUUGACUAUAUAUAUACAUAACUACAAUGCAGUAGUGUUUCCCUGGACUAGCUUUGAGAGUGACAAAUUGAAAACUUGAGCUCACUACUGAAACUUUUAAAGCCAAAAACACAUAAAAAGUGAACAAAAAUACCCAAUAAAAAAAAGAAACCUAACACUCACACACUGCGGCAAGUACUUGGAUCAAAACCAGGGGGGAGAUUUCCACUUGGGAUUGGUUCUAUCUGCAAAAAGGAAAAAAAAAAAAUAGGAAGCGAAAGAAAAUGAAAAAGAAAGAAAUAAAGGAAAAAACUUUACUUCCUAAAGUCUCAGCAACUAAGCUACGAUAACGAAUCAGUUUCAUCUCAAAGAUUUUCAUGGAGUUGUUGAACCAAAAAUCAGAUAAUAAGACAAACACUUUAAAAGAACUUUUAACGAAUACACAAGAAGCAAGUCUAUUAGUGAUAAUCCCAUAAAUUUCAUAACUUUUUCUCGUUUGACAAAUCACAAAUGAAACAAAAAUAAGAGAAACAAGUGUAUCUUCAAUCAUAGAAAAUGAAACCAAAAACCAAGAGUUUCUAAUCCUGGACCUUGUAAAACAAAAGGGCAGUGAAAUCGAGCUUGGAAAAAGACCCUAGAAACCCAAAUCGAGCAUGGAAAUGGAAGAAGAAACACACAAGAAUAGAGCAAACCUGUGGCGGGGCAAGGAGACCAGGAUGGUAGAGAGACUGUUGCUGCAUAAGAGCUUGCUGCAUCAUAACUUGUUGUUGUUGCUGCUGCUGCUUCAACCUCUGCAUUUUCUCUCGGGGAAAUUUUUAUUGUCUUUGAAUUUACUUUUUGUUCCCAGGAAAUGAAAAUUGACACAGUGUUCUGUCUUCUAGGGUUCGAAAGUGUUUUCGGUGUUCGAGAAAAAUGUAAGAGAAAUGACAAAAAAUUAAUAACCAAAAAAAAAAAACAAAAAUGAAGAAGAACAGGAAAAAAGGAAGUCUCUUGAUAGAAAGCGAAGGAAGCAAUCGAGUGGCUCUUACGAAUUUAUUGGAUUUAUUAUUUUUACACAUCGAUAAGCUAAAGUCACAGGCUGUAAGAAAUUUUUAAAACCAACAGCCAAUGAAAUCUUCCCACGUUAAUUUUAUGGCUCAGCCCAAAUCAGACACGCCUUCAAUGAAAUGAAACCUGACAAGUAUUCACAAUAAACAUCCCCUGAUUUAUCUUAAACUUAAGAUACACCCCUCUAAAUUAAUUAUUUCCACGAAUUACACCCUAAAUAAGUUAGAAAGGGCCUCUGAAUCACUUUCAAGUUUCAACCAUCUUUACCCGCGUUACGUUUGCAGUCAGAUUCCUCUUCCUGUUACUCUGGUUUCUCCAGAUUAGUUUACAACUCCUAAAAUAUUUUCUUAAUUAGAGACUCUCUUGUCUAAUUUGCUAUUUCUCGUUUUCAUAAUAUAACUUUACUAUUAUGAAUGAAUAUUCAAGUUAGAUUAAGAUUACAUACUUCAGUAGAAAGCAAAAAAAUCACUUAGAUAAGUCAGAAAAAUCGAAACCUUAAUCUAAAAACUUAGUUCCUAAUAGAAAUUUAGCAAAUAUUACUAUAGCUUUAGAUCGAGAUCUUUCGAACUUUGGCCUUCUUCAAUAUCCAUAAUAACAUCUUUAUCACCAUCUGAUUUGUGUUGGGCCACGGUUUGAGCAAUGGCAUUAUCCGGCUGUCUUUGUGACGACUGUCCUCGCUCUAGUGGUUGACCGGCUACAGCCUCUGGCUUGGGAGGAUAACAAUGGUGACCCGCGUUUUGGUUAACUUGGUAUGGAGCCCUAGCCACAGCUCUGCAACAGAAAAUAAUUACGUUACUAACGCGGCUGGUGAGAUAAAUUUAGGAGAACUUGUAACAGAGAAUCCUUAAUCUCUUGAACAUAGUAGAGUGAUUGGAACAUUAAAACAUGUUCCAAAAAGUAUGAUCAAGUUAAAUACCUGUCUUUCCGUUUAGCAAAGAAUCGAUGAAGCGAAGCUCUGCGUGCUAUACGUUCCACGAUCUGAUUUUGUUCUUGUUGCUGCUGCUGUUGUUCCUUUGUAGGGUGAUUAUUAUCAGUAUCAGCAGAAUUUGAAGGCUCAUUGAGAUCAGGGAGAACCAUGUUGCUUUUGUUUUCGACAUUGAUUGGUGUCUGAAUGUUAAUCUCAGUCAGAGGCUUGGCUUGUUUUGCUACUUCCAUAAUCUCUUUAGCUUUGUCUGCAGGGAACUCAUUAUAUACUAAAACUUUCCCUCCAAAGAAUAUGGUCAGCUGCGAACUUCCUGGCUGUGAUUCACUGUAAACCAAAAACAGAUUUCAGAACAAAACCAUUUUGAACCGGUUAUCAUUUCUCUACUCUCCAAUAACCAAACAAAAAACAACAAUUUUUCCCAAGGAACAAAAGGAGACCUGAGGUCAGCAACAUCUUUGACUUUGCCUCCAGAUGAUGCAGAGGGUCCCCCUUUGAAAUGCCCUGCCUUCUGCAUCGCAUUUUGUUUCCCUGAAUAAAGAGAAUAAAAACUUUCGUGAACAAUAAGAACUUACGGAAAAUAAUAACUUUUUUCCGAAAGAUAUAGCAUCUUAUAUCUUCUUUGGGAUUUUUAUGAACCAUAUAUGAUAUCUCAAUCAAUAUCUAUAUCAAUUUAUUCUUUAGUUUUGUUACUUGUCAGCAUAACUACAAGGAGAAAUUAUUUCCGAUUCAAAGGAACUGACUUACAAGUGAAGAAACAGAACAAAAGUAGUAAAUCUUACAAAAGCAAAAAAAACAAAAAACAGAACUGAAUUUUAACUAUUUACCGAGUGGCGGCAGUGAGAGAGGAAGAGAUGAUAAAGUACCUGGUGGAUCGGAUGUUCCGAGCAACCCGAUAUUGGAAUCGGGUUUUCGGAGCAAGCCAAGAUCUAUGUUUCCGAAACUACCCUUCUCCUUCAAGUAACGGCUGAGCAAACUACAUCUCCUGGUAAAGUCGGAUUUCUCCGGCGCUUUUGCCUUAGCAUUUUCAUUUUUCGACAUGUUGUUUAUGAGAAGAAAGAAUUCUCCACACUUCUUUUUUAAGAUAUUCUUAUCCCUUCUUUUCAAUAUUUUUCUUUCUUUUUUUGUCUGUGCGUGGAUGGAUUGCGCGUAAAAUGGAAAAGUACAAGAAGCUAGCUCAUGUGUGUUUAUAAACUCAUUCACCCAAUACGUUUGUGUGACUUGAAUAGCCUCCCAUAAAUUAAUGAAAACAGAAAUAUAUAAACAGGAGCUUUUUUUUUUUUUUUCAACUUUCAAUAUAUUAUUACCAAAAUAUAAAUAAAAUUCACUUUUUUUUUACAGCAAUUUGCAAAUAUUCAAACAUUUAUGGUAUUUCGAUUUCUUUUCGUAUAAAUUACUUUUUUUUUUUUUUCGUCUGAAUGAUUCCAUUAUAUUAUACGAGGGUAGAAUACGGUUUUGAAAUACAAGACCGACAAGAGUCGAAACUCUUUCGGAAACUAAGCCGGCGGAAGACAUAAAUAUCCCCGGGAAACUAAGCCCAAAAGAGGGAAGCAAACUAUAAACAAAAAGGUACAAGAAGGUAAACUCAAAAAGAACCAAAGAACUAAAUCUGAGACUCGAAACCAUCAUAACCCGCAAACAAUCCCAGAGAAACGGUUGGCGUCGGAGUUGAAACCAAGAAACAUGAGCCUCAAGAAGAAACAACCAAACAGGCAAACUCCAAUAGACCGGAGAUUCCGAAGAAGAACGAAUCUGAAGGCUCAACCAGCAACAAUCCAACAGAACAGAGAGCGAGAUCAAUCCAAUAGAUUACAUCAGAUUUAGAAAUAUUCCAUCGCAUGACAGUUUUCAACUUUUCACUAACUAUAGAACUAUAUGUAGUGUGACGAAAGGAAUUUUUCAUCUAUGAUUAAUAGUAAGACAAUUAAUGUUAAUAAUUCAUCAUUAUGC